ACUGUGACCAUACCUGAAUGCAGAUGUCUUGGCCACAGUUAUCCAUGCUCUGGGAACCUCUAUACGCUGUCACUAACUGAAGUGAGUUGGAUGGCUAACAGGGAGGCUGGCUAAUGUGCCUAAUGGUAAAUAGGCUGGCCAAGGGACACAGCACCAUUCACAAGGUGGCUGCUCCAAGGCUGGGGAGUUUUGUGUCAGCCACCCACAAGAGCAGGCAGCAAGACAAAAUCUCCCAACGCAAACAGCUUCUGAUACGCCCUUUCAGAGCCCUCACAAGUCUUUCUCUGGUUGCAAGCUAAAUCCGUCACUCACAUGACUACCACAUGCCCCUUCCUUAGUAUUUUCCUUUUAUGUAGCGGCUGGAGAACUUGUAGGAAGUUCAAAAUAAAUCAACUUGGGACACCACCCCCCAAAAAGAAAACACACCUUCCAAGGCAAUUCUGAAGCCUCAGGCCUAGCCCACUUCACCUUGGACUGCUUUGGACUCGAGGCACCUCAUAAUCAGAGGCAGCCCAAUAUCUCAGAAGAGGUAUUUUCACAGGUAUACUAACCUAAUAUUUUCCCUUAUUUGUGGUGUUUUUGUAGCCCACUGGUGUAGAUUGCUUUAAUGAUUCUGCACUUGCUCAGUAAGGCAGCUGAAGCCCAUAAACAGCCAGUUACCUCAGUGCGAUUAGGAUGGUGUCCUGCUUUCUCCUCUCGGCAAUUCUCUAAGCCAUUUUAAAAACAGAUUAGGAGUGAGGCUUCCCUUAAAGUUUCAAAAUGAGUCACGGAUUUCCUUGUCCGUUUAUACUGUUUUAUAUUAUAAAAGACUGUAAGUUAGUUUCUGGGUUGCUGUCCCUGUCAGCCAUUUUGAGAAGAACACUGGAGCUGAGGUGAAAUAAGAAGACCCUUUUCCCUCUUGGGCUGAUGAAAGAUCAAACUUCACGUAGAAGUUUCUUCAAGGAGAGCCUGAAGAAAACAGACUUCUGAGAGGUUGGUGUUGCAUUUUACUGUUUUGUGAUUUUUUAAAUUUAUUUUUUGUAAAUUGUAUCAUGCAUGCAAAAUUGGCAGCUCUAUAAGCUCCCUAAUCACAUUUUAUGUUGAUUAAUAUGGAAUACCAUUGUGAGUCCCUCCCGAGUCCCUGAAUAAAGAACUCUGAAUGUUUAUUUUAAAAAUAGUAAAAAUCUUAUAAAAGUGUUUACAUCUGCCCCUCUGUACUGAGUUUCUCUCACAGGCAAAGGGCUUCGUCUAUUCAGGCAGUAAACUUUUCUGGACAUUUGAACUGUGCCCAUGCAGAAUGCAGAGGAAGUAGUGCUAGAGGACACACUUCCAAAAAGAUUUCUUAGCAACCACUUACACUAAACUCCAUGAAGUAGCUCCAAAAGUAGACAAUGCAUUAAAUGUGUGACUGUACCUAAGAUGCCUAGUUUUUUUAAUAUUAAAAGCAGCCACAGGAAGGCCUGGUCAGGAAGAUUUGGAGUUUUAACUAUUGGUGCUGAUAGCAGCUUCUCUCGCAGAACAAAUAGCUUUGGGGAUUUUUUUUUGGUCAAGAUUGGUGAUGGUGUUAGGUUUAAAAACUCCACUCCUUGCAUGCUGAGUGGCCCCUCCUCCUCAAAAGUUGUUCUUUUAUUUUAAAUAACUAGACACGUGGAAUGCAAUUGGAUAUUUAAUAUGCUUUCUAGUUUGGCCCAAUGUUGAAGCAAUGUCUUAAAGAAACUGGAAUCAACUCACAGUAAAAGACGCUGUGUUCUUAAAACUUUCUGUUCCCUCAACAAACAAACCAUUGGGAGAUGGAGACAAAUCCACAAGAGAACAAGUGUUCUCAUGAAUUUCUUACUGCAUCCCCAUGGCAGCAAGCAUUCAGUGACUUUGAGACAGGAGUCAAGUCUAUCCAGCAGCAUCUCACACCAUCUGCUAUGAUACUGCUGGUUCUGCUUCAUUUACGUUGUCUCCUCUGCCUUCCAUCUGAGUCCUGAUUUUUUCUAUUUGACUCUUUCUGCUUGAGUUCAUGUUUUAGAAACUGUAACGGUAACGGUUCCUAGGAUCACUUUUUCUGUUUCCUCACACACUUGUUAUGGCUUUAAUUAAAAUUUGAUUUUAGAAUUUAGCCUCUCACAAACACACAGAUCCCCUAACCACGACAGCUUCUUUUCUUUGCCAUCUCCUUUUGUUAUGGUCAGCAAAGAGUGAUUCCAUUUAUCAGAACAAGAAAAGCAUCAGCAAUGGGAGAAAGAUGAAAGUUGCAAAAUAGCCCACAGACAAACUAAUGAAGAUGUGAUGAUAGAUGCGUAUAGCAAGUGCAAAUCACAUGAAAUAAUAGCAAUUCUCUGAUGGAGAAAAUAAUAAUUUCAUAAAACUAUCAUUUUGAUUAUUCCAUUUUCUUUUGAGCCUAUGGCCUAGCUAAAUUGAAAAGGCCUGUAUCUGCCUACCUUUUACAGCACGGAAACUAAGUGUUUUCAGGUACAGUGCUUUAUGUAGUGAAUGUCCAUUCUGGAACACUGAAAAGAUAAAACUGUUAGACUCUAUGGUGGCCAUUCUAUGCAUGAAAAGAGCAUCGGCUAAGCAUGGCAAUUGUGAUUAAUUUUGAAUUGUUUUGUAGCUUGAUAAGAGGAUAUUGGGAGACAUUUAGUGAAUAGGAAAAUUAGUCAAAGUUCUAAAAGAAAGACACUGAAAAAUUAUUAUAUGUAAUCACAUGAUAUUAUGAUGAGGGCUGAUCUGGAGAGUUAAAUGAUUUUGAUUGGUUUAGGAUUGUAAUAUUUGGUUGCAACUGUUAAGAUUGCUGUGAUUCUUGUGAAAUCAAAUCACAUAUGUAAUCUGGAAGUGUUGAAGGAACAUUGCUUUGGGUGUGGUUCUUUGCAAUCUUAUUAUUGAGGCUAUAUUUCAAUAAAGGCCUGUCUUUCCCCUUUGAGCCUGUGUUCUUUUCUUUUGGAUUUCUGGGAGGGAUACCUCCAGUCUAGGAACCCCUUUUAAGUUUCUUCAGCAUCUCAUUACAUUAUAGCAGACGUCGCCAGUGAUCCCUGACUUACAUGAUGUUGGACUACAACUCAUAUCAGCCCCAACUGGCAUGGUCAACACUCAUGGACAAUGGGAGUUGUAAUCUAAGAACAUCUGGAAGUCACUACAUUGGUUCGCACUGCGUUACAGAUAGUCCUUGGACUGGAUGCCAUGAACCUUAGAGGAGCUGUUGGAGACAGGCAUGGUCAGACUAUCAUAUUCCAGUUUAAUGAGGAAUAUUUAGUUACCAGUUUUGGAACAAGCCAGGAUCUUAAACCAGCUUCAACUGUGGUUUAAGAUCCUGGUUUGUUCCAAAGCUGGCACCCAUAUUUUCCCAGUUUGUAUGAUACGGGAAACUUCCUGGAUUAUUGACGCAUUCUAUAAAGUGAGAAGGGAAAAAGGCUUUGUAUGCAGGUGAAAUGCUUGCUUGUGCAUUGGUUUAUUAAACUAAGAUAGAGUAGCUGGAAAGCAGCCAUAGUCUAGCAUCCAAAGAGCUAUUUUAGAGUACCUCAUGUUCAGUGGAAUUUGAUGAGCAGACACUCCCAUGCUAUAUUACAAACUGCUUUUUGGAACUCCUCUAGAUUUGCAUGCUGCUGUUAAGGAAACAAAAGUCCAGAGUACUCUUGGGAAUUUGUAUGUACUUAAUCUGCUUUGGAUCUUGAACAUAGACUGUAAUCCAAAACAUAGGCAUAAAUUUUACUGCAUAUGAAAAAAAAGAUGCUUCAAAGCAGACUGAUAAUCUAUCUUGAUUAUGAUGAUGUCAAGAGUUCUAAUUCUCCUUCAAGAUCCAGCUUUAGGGUUUUUAUUAUGUGCAUAAUUAUUUAUUUCUAAGGACCCUCAAAUGGAACAGAGAAUCUUAUUAAUUGUCAAGAUAAUCUAUAUAAAAUUUCCUUUUGUUGCUUCUGUUAUAUUAGCUAAUCAUUAAGCCAUUUGUGGGAGCAUUAAAAAGGGAACAUAAACAUUAUUCUUAUUUCUCCUCUUAAGUGCCACAUUUACAUGUUUUUGGGUUUUCACUUUGUUUCUGCUAAACUGGCAACUACCGUAAUGUAUGUUAAGCCCAUGGUCCACCUAUGCUUGAUAGAAAUCAUUAGCUUUCAAUUAGAUAUGCACAUAAUUAUAUGUUCCAACUUAUGGACCUGUACGUUCGCAUGCAUUUAUGGUAUAAUUAGCACUUCUGGCAAAUUUGUAGAAAGAGAGAGCAUUUGACGCUCUGGCACUGUUUUCCCUUAGGGAAAGAUUCUUUAAGAAAUACCAGCAUAUUUUAUCCAUUCUUUUGGUGGUUUCUAAUGUUUCCAGUUAGGGGUACUGAACAACCAAUGUGCUAGGUACUGCAAAGUAAAAAAUAAAUAAAUACACAGUUGUCAAAAUUACACAGUUGUCUACAUAGAACUGGAGUAGAGGACACAGAUUGACAGCCAUUUAGGGCCUCCUGUCAACCAGGAGUUAACCAGAAGUGUUAAGUUGUGGGUAAACAUAUCAGACGACACACCGAUUCUUCAAACAGCUCUUUAUUUGUAAGCUGGAACAGAAUUGAACAGCAAACAGCUUAGCUGGCCUGCUUUUAUAGGCAGCCAGCUGUCAACAUUGUAGCAACAACAACCCAGGGUUUCCCGCCUAAAGUAACUAACGUGGACCUGAGUGAAAACUACAGUGGUACCUCGGGUUACAUACGCUUCAGGUUACAGACACCACUAACCCAGAAAUAGUACCUCGGGUUAAGAACUUUGCUUCAGGAUGAGAACAGAAAUUGUGCAGUGGCGGUGCGGCGGCAGCAGGAGGCCCCAUUAGCUAAAGUGGUGCUUCAGGUUAAGAACAGUUUCAGGUUAAGAACAGACCUCCGGAACGAAUUAGGUACUUAACCCGAGGUACCACUGUAUAUACACGAUACUCCUGGUGGCCAGGGUGAGAACUUCAAUACAUAACAAGAAGGUUAUGGAGAAACAGUAAUUGGGUAGAUUAACGUAGUGGGACUUCAAGAGGACCUGGAAUCUGGUAAAGAGUAUUAGAGAGCACAGGAUAGCAUGAUAGAAGGCCAGAAACAGGAGGGAGGGAGAGACACAGGAGAUUAGCUAUCACGGACCAAAAGCACCAGGAAACGUUGAAGCAGAAUGAGGGACGAUAUAUUUGUACUUACUUUUGUAAUUACCACCAAGUUGUUUCCUCACAAAUGGCUCCCAUGCUUCAGUGAUCAUGUAUAGAUUUUUUAAAAUUAUUUAUUGGGACUCCAGAUCAUGUGUGAGAGCAGUUCUAAGGGAACCUGGUGCUCACAAUGCUGACAACUUGCAGAAUUCUUUAGUGACUUUAGCUACAAAAUCCAUUAAAAAAAAAAAAUCUAGUUAGAUGCACUCUCCAGUACUUCUUAAACUCCCUCAUGGAACUACAAUUCCUAGCACCCUUAACAAAUUACUGUUUCCUAGAUCGGGUGCCGGGGGGGGACGGGACCGACCAUGUGCUUUAAAUAUACAGUGUGUAAGUGGCCACAAUAAACUUGUUUUUGUAGCUAGUGAUGCAAUAACUCCUCCCCCCAAAAUUAGCAAAAUUCCUUUUUUACAAGUUCAAUUUUCAAAUAAUUCUAAAUUAAAACAGCAGAAUAAAUGUCAGCAUUCAGACUUGGGGGGGGGGCUGUCUUCUUUACUUUCAUUUCUAUAGAACUCCAAUCACAAAACUGUCAGAGAUAGCUUAUUAGGUACUUUAAAUAGACACUUGAUGAAUAGCCCACACCCCACAUCGUAAUUACAGGCUAUAUUAAGAAGACAAGGAAUUUAAAUUGGUAUAGCUAAGACUACACACUACAAAAUGCCAAAUCAAAUAAGUCUUUAUUUUGUAUGUCUGUCCUGCCUUCUCAGCCUUGCUUCCUCUAUUUUCUGUAUGGAAAGAAGAGGCAAACUGUGGCCUAGAUUCAACUAACAGCAUACUAGUGGAAGCCAGCACCAGAGCUCCUGCUAGAACAGAAGGGCUUCCCCCGCCCAGCUCCCCAAAUCUGCUCUGGAGGGUUAAGAGAAAAGCAGAAAUGCUUGUGCUGACGGAACAAUAAGAAGAGUGUGACGUUGAAUUCCUCCCUAUGUUUAAAAUCAGAAAUCUUCUAUCUUCCCUUUAUCUUAUGAAAACAGCUUGUUUUAUCCUCCCCAAGUUCAACGAAAGAUACAGCCACACUUGGGGACACCAGGGACUGGAUAUUCUGUUUUGGCACCUCCAGUCCUGUAAUCCACACAGUGGUCACUGUUAAACACAGGGUCAGGCACUUGGCAUUAUGGACAUCUUCUGAGAUAGAAAUAUGCAUGCACAAAAUGCUUCUGUGCGCGCACACACAACAGACUGCUGCUUUAAUCACUGCAGUCAUCUCCAUAGUUCAGGCAUUAGAAAAGUGGAAUUAAAUUAAACUGAUAGUGAAGUGGCUGGUAGGUAGCCUGCAUAUAGAACCAUAGGUGACAGGUCUUCUAAAAAUCCAUUGAAAUCCAUUUAUUUCAAAAUGGCAAUACGGCACAUGCUUAAAAUGUGAUAACUGGUCCUUUGCUCUUCCUUUUUUUAAUGAAAGCUGUCAUUUGAAGAAUUCUGGAUUCUUCACUCUAACACUAAAUUCCCAUGUUGCAUGGUGUGGUCCUCAAAUUACAGGCUAAACAUAGCCCUGACUACUAUGUAUAUAAAGUCCUAAGCACUGUAUAGAAGACAGAAGUGGCAUAAGGUAACUCCUCAUUAAUAUUCUAAGCUUUGGUUAAGAUACUCAGGUACAGAGUACAUCAACUAUUAAAAGCACAUCAUGUGUCUUUAACAUCACUUUUCUCUACUUUUACAAGAUGACCAGGAAAGUUUCCAGUUUCAGCAGUAAACUGAAGGCAGGCUUUAUGUUGUGGUUGUAGUUACAAUUGUAGAGAAAAGAAGUCUGAGCUAAAUCUCAGACUUGCUACUUGUGUCUUCCAUCGUGUGUAAAGGAUAAGCCGUGUGCUGACUAACUUCACUUCAGGAUCUCCACUGUUCCUGGCUCAUAACCAGCGCAUGGCUCAUGCUAACGAACUGUGAACAGAAUGUGAGUAAAACUCUUACUGUUAUUUUCAAGAAGACUAUGUUGUGUUAUUCUUAUUUUAAGAGGGAAAUAAAGGGGAAAUUUACCAGGAAGGCUCUAGUCUGGACAAGUCAGACUGGAUUGCUUAAUUAAAAGACUCUAGCGAGUCAUCAGCUUGCUUCCAAUAAGUUGCAAAGGGAAUGUGCUCUGCUGUUUGCUCACUAGUGUGAGAGAGGAGGGAUAAUAGCAAAACAAUAUAUCCUCUCCAACCUUCCUAAUCAUUCCCACAGCAGUGAGAUAUUAACUCAGAAACACGGCUUCCUAAGUAGGAGCUAAGGUGAGAGUGUACAAAAGCAGGCAUGAUAGCAAGUUCGUGAGACAAGACCAAGGUCAAACACAGUGAAAUAGUCCAAGCGUAGGCAGGAGUCCAAGAACAAAGUCUUAACAGAUGCACUGGGUCAGUCAGGAUAUAAAAAAAAAACUUGUAAAGUUCCAGCAACUAACAGCAACUGGAAGCUUUUGUAGCCUGAUCACCUAGGUCCAUCCAGGCCCAGCUACAACUGGUCAGCCCAGCCUUCUAGGUUCUCUUCCAGGUAUCUUACUCCCAAGGGGUCCUCAGUCCCUCUGGGUCCUCAGCUACAGUUAGACCUGGCCUCCUGAGGCUGGAGGUAUCUGGGAUAGUGCUGGAGAGCAGGUGUUCCAUAAAGUUUUCAGACUUCAUGACCUCAGGGAUUUCAUCUGAUUAAGAGUCUUAGGCUUAGGGCUGAAUCAGGCAUCACACUCUGACAUAGAACUAGCACUUGCACUUUGUUCACCUUUUCUAGAUAUUUUCUGGAACUAACAAUAAUGUAGUACAGCAUUAUAUAAUCCUGGCAAGGUGCACAUCUGUAUUACAGUCAAAAUUAUAGCUCCUCUUCCUUCAUAACAUGUAGAAGUAUGAAUUAUGACUUCUUUAGCAAUAUCUUUUAUAACUGUUCAGUGAUUUUUCAUUUUGGCACCAGCACUAACAUUCUCUGAAACAAACAUCUGAAUAAUAAACAUCCACCAAAACAUGAUGUAGUCUGUCAUAUUUUAAAAAAUCUGAUUGAAACAGGUGCAGUCAAAUAUUGUCAACACUUCCCACUAUCUUGUUCUUAAGACAACUUCAGUACCCUCUACAUUUGGUAGAUGCAAGUAAAGUCCUAAAAGAAAAGCUGUUCUCUACAUCCAAUUCAAGUCAGUGGUGAAAUUCCCAUUGAUUUGAAUAGAGCUGGAUUACACCCAAUGCUGCUUUAGAACAGUUUGAAUUAAAUUAGCUAUAUUUUUAGCAUUUACAAACAAUGGUGUGUGUGUGUGUGUGUGUGUGUGUGUGUGUGUGUGUGUGUGUUUUAAAAGCCACACAUAUAAAAAGGCAAAAUAAAAUGUAAAUUAUGUGAGAAGACUCAUUCCAAAUACACUUAAACAGAAAUAUUAAAAUCAGUGAGGUUUAGAGCCAAUUCUUCUAACCACUUUCGGGUUGUUUUCAAAUGCAUGGUAAUAUUUUCAUUUCACUGGGGAUUGAAAUGACACCAGCAUUAAUCAAGCUCAUGAUUAUACUCACUACUGAAAACAAUGGCUAUGAUCCAACCCUUUUGUACAUGAAAAGUGAAGGGAGGGUGGGAAGAAGGAACAGGCUGGGAUGGGUUAUUUCUAGUUAUCUAUAUUGUCCCUGUGACAGUGCCUUACAAUAUACCACACCUCAGACACAUUCUGUGAUUCACACCAAUGUGCAGAGCUAAUCCUAGUCCUGGUGUGAAUCACCAGCAAGGGGGAGAAACUGGCUUGUUCUGUGUGCCCACCUACAGAAGGAGGACAGGAGUUACAGAGCAUCAGGCAUUGUUAACUGCAAGCUGGUCUAUUUAUCACAGGGAUCAACAAUCCUGUAGUGAGUUUCCUGCACACCCUUGGCUGUAUCAUUUAGUAUAGCUGACUCACAUGAGCUAGGAUCUUCGUGUUUCCCAUUCCAAAUCCAUAGCAGAGUGAGAAAGAUCAUUGCAUGAUAACCACAAUUCACACAGUAAAUUGUACAGUUUGAGUUGCUAAUCUUGGUAGUGGAUGGUAACUCUAGAAUGGCUCUGAACUUUCCCCUUUACUCUCCUUUAUUUGUCCUUCACUUGCUGGGUUCAGGUGAGGAUUCUGCAUACUCUGAAUGACUGAAUUGACCUCCACACAUUCAGCAGAACUGCUAUAAAGAGCCCAUGCACAAAUAACUUGCACUGCUCAGUGGUCAGGGACAGACACAGCUGAUGAGAUCCUGAUUCUUUCUCCACACAUUUAGGGUCUGUGGAAUCAUAGUAUGAACAGAACUUUCCUGUCAUCUGCUUGUCUCUGCAUCAUGCUCUCAGUGAGCCCGGAUUCAAUUGUAACACCAUUCUUUUUCAAGCAUUUGUGGUGGCACAAUAAGGAGCUGGAUAGAAGGCGAUGCAUUGAGCUGACUGGGUAUAUAUAGAGGGACUGGAACCAGUGGGUGGAAAUUUCAGGGAAACAAAUUUCAGUUAAACAUUAGAAGACACUUCUGAAUGGUUACCAGCUAUUCAUUGUUACCACUACUUCCUCCUUCCUUCUUUGGAUAUCUUUUAAACAGAGGCUUAAUGGCGAGCUUGCAGGGAUAGUGUUGCAUCCUGCAUUAUAGAACCUAUAUUGAGAAAGGGGCUGGAGUAGAUGACCUCUUAAGAUUCCUUCAACCUCUUAUUCUGUUUGCAUUCAAGUAUUAGGGACAAAUGCAUAUACUCCAUUUGAUGAAUAUUGCAGCAGCCUCUGUCAUCUCAAUUGCAGAUGUCAGAAAAUCGCAUGUUUAUAAUAUCCCACUUCUGAGGAAAAUACAGUGUUGGCUGUUUGAAAAUGUUUACACUGAAGUUAUAUUAACUGUGAAAUCAAAAGACAGGCUUAGGGAUUUGUGUGUGUGUAUUUAAAACUACUCUUAAAGGCAUCCUUUUUGGGAAAUAAAUGAGAUGGACAAUUGGAUUGGGGGAAAGUAAGGCACAGUGAAGAAAUAAAUAGCAUGCAUCGUUAAAGCCAAGACCAUAAAAUCAAAAUGCAUAGAAUUUUUUUUAAUGGUCCUGUGUGAAGGGAAAUCAUGCUUUAUAUCUGAAAAAUACUUAGACUGCAAUGUUAGCUGCAUACAAACAGCUUUUAGUAGGCUAGGCCCACUAAUGAAAUUCUGGCUUUGGAUGAUGAGCCUCAGAUGGAUGAAGCACACUUCUUACAUCUCCUGCAUAGUGAAUUACAUACCUUGGGUUCCCCUUCCCCAGCUUGCAUCUUCUACAGAAGCAAGCCCAUAUUUAUAUUCUAAAAUUACUUCCACACCUACACAUCCCAUUCUACCUAGGAUCAUACCUGCAUCCAUGUGAAACUGCAUUCUCUAACAAGUACUGUGCGUGAUUUCCAAGUCUGGUUCUGCUGCUAGACCUGUACAUAUUUAAUGUUGAAAAAAGAUGUAGUUUCGCUCAGUUGACCAGAGAUGGGAGAAGAGAGCUAGAUUUAGAGGUGUCUCCCACACUCCCCAUCAAAUUGCUGAUCAGUAUAAUUUAUAGCUUAUUUACUACUACUAAUAAUAAUAAUAAUUAAUAAUAUAUAUCUCAAACAUAAUAAAGCAGUGGUUUUCUGAAUUCCUUGAAUAGUAACAAUACAAUCCUUGUAACAUUUAGUUAACAGCAGAGAUGAGGCAUGAUGUCACUGAGCUGCAAAGCAGAGGGAGAGAAAGGAGGGGCAUUCCAUUGGCUCUGCUAAGAGGCCAGUUGCUUUAGGUUCUUUCUCAGCUGUUACCUAGUAGAUGCCAUUCCCUCAAGCAUGCUUCAGUAGAUGGAGAGUUAUGAAACAAGGCCAUUCCACUGAAUGGCUCUGCUGAGACCAGUUCCCUUUGCCUCUUUAUUUACCUGAACAGUUCACGUUGCACCUGGUCUCAUUAGAUCUUUAAAAAGUUAUGCCUGAGUUUGCUUUUGGUUUUCAUCCUCCUUCUCCAUCCCCCUUUUUUGUGCCUUAUAGCUAUGGGGACAGGCACAGUUUUAUUUAUGUGUAAGCCAGUCUCUGAACUUUUUUGGCUGAAAGGUGGGGUAAAAAUGCUUUAAUUUAUUUAAAGAAAAUCCAAACGUGUUUCCCUGUCCCUGCUUUACUUCAUUGGUUAUUGCGUAGAAGGACCAGAGAAUUGCUAGGCAUGACAGCUUUGUAACACAUGUCUAUUUAACAAAGCAUUGCAGGGAGAUGAAGGGAGGAGAUCUAGUUUUUCAAUAGCCACUCAUUCCCACUGAGAACUAUUUUUAGCUGGAACCAAAUCUGCGUUACUAUGCACCAUGUAAAAGAUAAAAGUGGCACCACCAUGCUAAGAUAGCUCACAAAUUUGUCUCUUUAGGGGUAAGUGGGGGUCAGGUCUAAUGAAUAUUGAUCAUGCUGCAAUAAACUGAAAUAUACCAUGUCAUGAAACAACUUAGGAGGUAUUCCCCUGAGGUCAAUUUAACAUUUUACAGCUGUCUUUUUUAAGACCGCCUUAAAUUCUGUGGCAUUACUCUCCUAAUACACACCCCUAUUCUCUCUCUCUCAGGUGGAAAAAUUAAUUCUACAAUUGAUUAGCUAAAUUAAUGAAUAUGAGAAGCACAGCAAAGCAAUGGCCUAAUUCUUACUAAGCUGGAUCUUUCUCUGGCCUAUUCAGACUUCAUGUGGAGAUUUACAUAAUAGAAUCCUCCCUCAUAAAAACAAUUUUUAAAGUCUAGCAUACUUUGAUAGUACAUGUAUGCUGGCAGGAGGAUAAUGGGAUCCUGACUACACUUCCAGCAACAUUGCACCAUAAUUUAAUAUAGCUCUGAAUACCAGCAGCUGUGGAACUCUCCAGUAGGGGGAGUGCUGUUGUGCGCAUGUCCAAUAUAGAUAAGCAUUAGAUCUGAUUCAACAUAUGAUUCGUAUGUUUUAUGCACCAGGGUAGUGCUAUUUUUUGCACAAAAGAUCAUUCAGUGUGGUGAUAUCCCAUCUGAAAUAGUACAAUUGGGAUACAGGCUUGCCACCUCAGUGAGAACAAGGCCAUUAUAUCUGCCUUACUUUAGCUGAGAAAUCCAUAUUUUCACAUUUUACUUUAAACAGCUUUAAUAAGAAAAAAGUGUAUUGAGCAACAUUAUUUCUGAAGUCUAAACAAAAGGGGGAAAAUCCCUGAAUGACCAGAACACGAAGAGUCAAAGCUAGGGUUACUAACUGUUCCUGUAUCUUUUAGAACUAUUUUAUCUACAUAUAUUAACAUAUUAUAAUGAUUAACAUCAUGCUGUAAAAAGCUUCACCUACUUAUUUCUGUGAAAACAGCUGCUGUUAAAGGUAUAGGAGCAACACAGAUUGUGUUUUUUAGUGAGUUUUCUAAUUGUGGCAGAAUUUUACUAUUCCAGUUCCUUUAUUGUUUAGUGCUGUACAACGAACACUUAAUUCACUGCUGCAAAAGCAAUAUCCUGUUUACUUUAGGCAAAUGAAUCUAUGUUGAUUUCUUAAAACAGAUAACACGAUUAGAAAUCUGAAAAUAAAUGGUUUCAGUUUAUGAAUUUUCUAAUAUAUAUUACAAGCAAAUACAGUGGCCUGUUUUUAUUACAAGAGUGUUUUCUUGGGAUUUUAUUUAAAUAUAGCUUGUUAGCUCUUGCUCAGAUGUAUGGACUUAAACCUUCACACUGCUACCAUGACUCAUUUUAUGAGUGGGCUGGUAGCACGCAGGGGCCCUGAAGCAGCAGCAUCUAUACAUCAAUUUCAGGCUUUUUUCUUGUUCUAGACAGAGCUCUCAAAUCAGUUCCCUUAGGAAAAUUAAGAAAGGAUUUCAUCAGUGCAAUAGAUAGAAGCCAUUUGCAAAAAGUUCAGAGUCUUUCCUACAAGCUGGCAUUAUUUAAAUUCAACAUCCUCCUGCAUAUCCCUCAGAACAAAAAAGUUUAAAUCUGUGAAAAUGCAAUAACAGGAUUUGGAAAGACUGAAUAAGUAAUGCACAAAUGAAACUCAUAAUAAGGAGCAUAAAUCUGGAUGCAUUUGCAGGAUAAAGUCUGGCAACAGGUCCAGGCAGAAAGAAGCACAGUAUAAAAGACAGAGGAUGAAACCAGAAACAGUGUUAUGACAGCAUGAGACUCUUGGUCUUAGGAUCAUAGGUUUGAGCCCCAUGUUGGGCAAAAGAUUCCUGCAUUGCAAGGGUUGGUCUAGAUGACCCUUGUGGUGCCUUCCAACUCUACAAUUCUAUGAUAGCUCAAGCUGUUGAGUAAAAGGAAUUGAAGUGUAAGCAUGAUGAACUCAAGCUUGAGCGUCUGCACCACAAGAGUGAAUUGAAAAUUCCAUGUCAAAUAAAAUACUUUAAGCAGAAGGAUUACCCACAGGAUAAAAUGGGAGCCCAGGAUGAUACGACAUGAGCACUUCCAUUUUAGGAAAGGAUGCAUGUAGAGAUCCAAGCUCUGCCUAGAGAAUAAGGUAAAGAUAAGAUUGUAAAGGCUUUGACAACGUGACAUCUAAUAAUUUGGAAGAAGGUGGCAAGUUCCUGACACAUUUGGUUUUCUUCUCCAGAACAGCCUUGAAGCAGAUAUUGUUCUAAAGUGAUGAAACCACUCUACUAAUCUCAAAGAACAGCAGAAUAUUCAUUCAACUAGUACAGAAGAUGAAAUGCUACAUAGAAGCUUCUGUAUAAGGUUUGUUUUUUAAAAUUUAAAAAUACUAAAUGUAAAAUAUGCUUUUCAGAACUGAGACUUCCUCUAAUCUCUUUAUAGCUGAAAACAAGUAUUUUUUGAUAGACUUUUUUUGAGUCCUAUCUUUUAGUUAAGAGUGCCCUCUGGUGAAGAGAUGAAAAGUCAGGGAAAGAUAAUCUUAAAAUAAAUUAGCAAAGAAUGGUUCAGCAAAAUCUAGAUUUUUUGUUGUUGUUGCAUUCAUGUGUGAAAGUAUUUUAGGCAACCCCCCCCAUGAAGUCCCUAAACAGCCUAUAUUAUGGUCUGUUUUACAGAUGCUCUUGCCUCAUGCCUAUAGCUUGGCAUGCAUUUGAGGUGGGUGCCAAAAAGCAAUAAGUGAGCAAAUCCAUUAGGUUUGUACAUAGUACCAAAUCAUAGUUAGAACAAGUUAUGUGAGCAAAACCAGGGUUUCAUAUCAUGUUUUGCUGCUGGAAAACAAAUUAUGGUUAGAUAACUGGAACUGGUUCGGUCAUUCACAUAUUCAUUUGCUGUAAGAGCACUAGUACCUUUCUUUUCUUGUCCCACAACAAAAAUCAAGCACCCUAUCCACCCAGGAUAUAUGGAAUUUAGCUCCAAAUCUGUGCAUUUGCCAGAAUAGGCAUUGCCAGUCUCACUCAUGCUUACUUUACACAAAAAAUGACACCUAAGAUUCCACAGUCCUAAUUGCAGUGUAAGACUCCAGCCAGUGUCAGUUGCAGUUCUCAGUGGAGCUUCUUGCAUCCCAAAGAUGCAUGUACUCUCAAGAGUGCAACAACGAAAGAACAGCCCUAACCCUCAAAUGUCUGUAUACAGUGCUCUAUUUUCUUUAUUAUUCUAAGGGUACAUCAACUUGGGGUUUGCCAUCACCUAACAGCAGCUUGAGGAAUGAGUAUGCUGUGAGUUAUUGCAGCCCUACUGAAACUCCUGCCUACCAUUUCUUCAUUGCAAAAUGUUAACACAUAUUAGUUGGUGCUUUAGUGUCCAGUAAUUUACUGGGGCACUAAAUCAGUAGUCAUCUUAUCAAUAGUCAAAGGCCCAUCACAUUCCGUUUUUCUACAUUGUGCAACUUUAUAUGACAAUGCCACCACCUGCUGACAGUUAUAUGAGCUGAUUCUUGGAGUGUCCUAUGCUCAUUCCAUGGACCACUAGUAUGAAGCCCUGCUGUGUACCAUGGCUCAGACACAGCAGUUGUUUGUCAAAUGUUUUUAACAAGCAUUUAUAUUUGCUGGCACACAGCCAGUAAGUUGCAGCAUUGUGCCCUGAAAGUAUCUCUUCAUUCUCCCCAGGAGAAAGAUUUGCCACUGCAAAAAAGCACUCAAAAUUAAAUAAACGAAGAAACCAUAUAGGAAGGCCAAGUGAAACGCACAGGAAAUGUAGAAACAGAUGUAGUAAAGAUGAAGAGCAAGGACAAAAAAUGGGUUUGGAUUAAAUGUAGAAGGCUGAAACAGAAUAAUUGAAACAGAAAAAGAACAGAUAUUAGUGAAAUUAUGACCCCCAGUCUUUAAAAAAAAAUGUACCUCAGUGACUCAACACGACAUCAGUUUUGUAAGGUUUCUGUGUCACUUUCAGUACCACUAUAAUCAGAAUAAUCACAUUCAUCAUCUGAAUCAUCAGCAGUGGGAAAUGUGUGAAAUAUUACUCUCUCCUGUCCAGGAGCACUCUCUAGAAAUUUUGUGAGAAUCACCUGACCAGAUUCAGACAAAAUUACUCUGUAGAGACCCUUUUCAUAACCCACAAAAAUGCCUCUAGCAUUCUUCACCCCAUCUGGAGUUUCAGUCCUGAUUUGAGACCCAAAAACCUUAAAAUGCGCUACAGAAGGUUUUCUUUGGAAUAGCCUCUCAAAAGGAGAACAUUCCAUACCUUUUGAAACCUUUCUCACCCAAGAGUAACAAAAACAUGAUAAAGAUUCAGCCCAAAACUCAUGUGGCAAGUAUGAACUCAGCAGUUGUGCCUGCAUGCCAUUCUGCAACUCUCUGUUCACUUUUACACAGACAGUUUUGUUCCAUGCAGCCUCUGAAACAGCAACCUUGUGCUCUAUCCCUUGCUUCUCAAGAAAAUCCUGAAAAUCCUGUGAAAGAAAAAUUGGCUUCUCAUCUGUGAAAAGAAAAUCAAUGUUAGCAUCAUGAAUAUUCUUAUCCUUAUCACAAAACUCCUUAAACCUUUCUAAGGUUUCUCUGGGAUUCUGCAAAAUGUAAAUCCAUACAUAUUGAGAAAAAUGAUCUACAAAUACAAGAUAGUACUUUGCAUUGCCUCUAGAUGGUGCUAAAGGACCAAUCACAUCAGCAUACACUCGCUGAAAAACUUUGUUAACUUUGUUAAUCUUUCCUCUCGUGUCUUCUUUCGAGAUACCUGCAAGAGAAAGCAUUUUAGAUUCACAUGCUGUACACAUUUUAUAAUCACUUUCAUCAAAUGUUAACAGAUACAGUCCGUCUUUCUCUCUGGCAGAAAGAUACAGCUCUCCAUCUUUGUAGAUUUUGCAGCUUUCCUCAUCAUAGGACAAUACCAGUUUCUUCUUGGCGAUUUGAGAAACACUCAGCAGAUUGUACUUUAAAUCAGGAACAAAAUAAACAUUGUUUAUAGUCAAGUUCAGGCUUUCUAGAUACACAGUUCUGAUCCCGGUUGCUUCCAUUUCCUGACCAUUGGCCAGUUUCACAGUGAAGUGUUGCUUCUCAAACGUAGAAAACAGUUCUCGGCGUGAUGCCAUGUGUUGCAUGCAUCCUGUGUCUACAAUAAAUGAGUUCUCCACGGAUGAUGUGGCUUUUAGGGACAUCAAAGCCAUAUCUGGUUUUGCCUGGGACUGGGUACGACCUUUGCUUGAAGCCUCAAGCUUUAUAGAGCUCCCUCUAGCUCCUUUCUCCUGAUGUGGUGUCUCCUGACGAACAGCGUUCUGAGCUACAGCUUUCUCCUCUGUAGCAAUAGUAGUGGGGGUGCUUGAUUUCUGAGCUUCACUCCCCCCACCAGAAACAGCCAUUGCAGCAAGAACAGGAUCAUCAACAGCAGCAACAUUCUCUUCACUUCCCUGUUGUGGCUCAAAGCUCCUCCCAGCUUUCGAUGAGCUCUCAAGAAUUUGGCUAGCUUCAUCUUGGCUCUCCCCCUUUGGCACAACCAAUUCUCAGUCCUUGCUUCCCACCCCAGCUUCACAAGCUUUUCGGAGUGAUUCCCAAGCGACCCUUGGUUCUUCUGCACCCUUUAGGACUGGCUCAAGAUAAGUGUCCACAUUUUCUGCCAAAAUUCUUAACACACGCUGUUUCAAUUCACUUUGUGCUUGUACAGCAAAAGGCUGUGGGGUCUGGAGUAAGUGCCAAAGCUGCUCUUCCACCAGCAGAAAUUCCAUUGCAAAAGACCAUUCUAGCCAGUUUUGGCUAUUCAGUUUCUGAGAGAACAGAGCCAUCUUUAAUCCCAAGCUGCAGCUGCAGCUACAAGCUGGAAAAUCCAAAAGUCUAUAUCUUGUUUACUAGCUGCUUUGCACCUGGCAGUCAACCCAGCUGCCUGGAAUUUUCCCUUUCCGAGAAUCUGUAAACAAUAAGCCUUCACUGCAAUCCAACAGCUCUUUGCUUGGAAAGUCCCUUUCCAACAGUUUGUUUACAACAAGCGUCGCUGAAAAACCCAGCCUUGCUUUCGCUUUUGAAGCUUCUUUUCUCUCUUUACUCUUUAAGCUAACCAGCUCAUAAAUUUAGCUCAAAAAGUACUCACGAUUCCGUCUCCAAGCAACGGCAGCUCUUAUCAGCUCUGGAAUGCGAAGCAUUUGGCUGCUCUCCGCUCUGUUUUAUCCAAAACAGGAGCUUUUUUCUCCGUGAACCGAAGACUUUUCAAUUCGCGUUCAGCAUCCAGCCAUAAAUUAGCAUCGCAGAGGAACAUGGAUCGUUGCUUAUCAGCAAAAAAAAAGGCUCCCACCUGGUGCUCAGCCGUCCGCCGGGCAAUCACUUGUUGUGGCAACCAUCUGACUCUGCUACCACUUGUCAGUUUGCAAGCCCCCUCCACAGAGGCUGGCCCCUCUCACUGUCCUCGGAGCUUGCAUACCGGUAACCUCCUAUGGCUGAUAUCCAGGCAGACCAGGGAGAUUUUGAUAGGCGACAUUUUCCCAAGCGUGGGUAAAAUGCACAACCCCCUCCUCCUGCACAACCCCCUCCUCCUGCUUCUUCCCUAGCAGGGAAAAGGAGACAGACAGAAACGUCUAUUUACAUUCUUUUAUUUCUGUCUACAGCACUAGAGAAAAACACGUCCUUUCAGUUCAGUUCUUCUAGCACGUCUUACAAACUUCCUGUACAUGCGCACACGGAAGGUUUCAAAUUACACUCUUCACAGAGACUUUUCCAGCCUGUGAACUUCCUGGGAAAUUCUUCUUUCCCACAGAUAGGCACAUCAUGUGAUGUCAACAAUCUGGCUGUCUGCAGCUGUGAUGUUUCCAUAUACUGACAGUGUUUUUGUCUAUAUACAACUAACAGAAAAUUAAUUUUAUGAAAGAAGGCAGAACUGUGAAAUAAUAAUGGUAGAAAAUAUAGAAAAAUCCAGUUUGAAUUUAAAAUAUUUAAUACAAAAAGUUUGAAUUAAACAGUGGUGGUACAUAGCCUUGAUCCUCUGUCAUGUUCAGAUUCCACAUUGGUAAUCUGCAGAAUUCCUUUUGGCAAUGUUUUGUUCAUCUGUUACACUACCAGAUGGGGGGCAGGGGAUGGCAGGUUGGCAAAUAGCUGAAAAGGUGACAGCAGGGAGGUAGCUUUUUCCUUUUGUCCUUUGAGAAUGAUAGAAACACAAAGGCACACAAUGGAUUAAGAAAAAUAUCAAAACAAAACUGCUUUUAUUCACCUUGCUGCAGGCAAAAUGACGAACAUGAGGAGAGAUUUAGCUAAAAUGAAAAAAGGCAAAAGAUCAACUGGCCCCAUUUAAUCAUUGAAAUACAAAGAUCCUCAGAACUACUCCAGUAAUUCUCAGCAGCCUUACUCUUGUUAUCAGGUGAACCAUGAAUUUCUGGUAGUUCCCUGCAGCAAUAGUGAAUUUAGUACAGAGAUGAUAACGCUGAAAGCUCAUUUCUCAAACAUAUUGCUCCUUGUAUUCCAACGCUAGUAUAUACAAUAUCAAGAAUGCAAAGUACUGUAGUGCUUUGUUUAUAACAAAGUGAAUCCUGUGAUUCCUUCUAACAGAUAAAGUAUCUUUUAUCGCUAGGGCAGAGGAGAAAACAUGGGGAAAGGCCAUCAGUAAUUAUUAAAGGUAGUUUUCAGGCAUAUGGCUGAUUUUCUUUGAGUCUAGCUACACAUUACAUACAAGGUUACCCUAAUUCAGCUCUCCAAAUCAGAGGAAUCUUUUUUGCAUAUUACCGUAUUUUUUGCUCUAUAAGACUCACUUUUUCCCUCCAAAAAAGUAAGGGGAAAUGUGUGUGCGUCUUAUGGAGCGAAUGCAGGCUGCGCAGCUAUCCCAGAAGCCAAAACAGCAAGAGGGAUUGCUGCUUUCACUGCACAGCGAUCCCUCUUGCUGUUCUGGCUUGUGAGAUUCAGAAUAUUUUUUUCCUUGUUUUCCUCCUCCAAAAACUAGGUGCGUCUUGUGGUCUGGUGCGUCUUAUAGAGCGAAAAAUACGGUACCUCUCAAAAGCAGGGGAUCCAAAAAUAGCCCAGUGAGGACUAAGUAUUCUUAGAGGGCACAGAAUGCUGACUGAAGGUGGGGACAGAAAACUAUAGGGUCUCAAACAGAAGCACUCCAGGCUCCUACACUUUGUUGCAGGUUUCUCUUCCACUUUUUAAGUGGAGGGGCUGAAAUGCAUUUUUCCCCAUGGACCACCUUUAAUUUGAUAACUCUCAGCAUCAAAUUAAAGUCAGUUGGUUUAAAUAUUGGCUAGUUUACUCACAAUCCACUGAGAUGAGGAAAAGCUAGUUAAGAGUUGUAACUAAUGUUUGCAAGCAGAGACAGGGAACAGAAGGCGUUUGUGCAAGGAAAGUGCUUGUUUUUAACACAGAGGCAGAGUGAAAACCCAUACGGUAUUUGUAUUCUUUGUUUGUGCAACAAGAGGAUUGUAGACACAUACCUUAUAUAGAAAAUCCUGCUCAGAGGGAAACUGUUCCUGAAUUAUAAGUGUGUGAGAAGACAAGACACUGCAGUUUUUCAGUGGUAAAGGUACCCUGCACAUUCUUCGACCCUAGUAUUGAAAAUCAACAGCUGAACUCAGUCAUCUGACCCUAUACCUUUAAAGCACGUUCAAAAUACAGUGGUGCCUCGCAAGACGAAAAGAAUCCGUUCCGCGAGUCUCUUCGUCUUGCGGGUUUUUUCGUCUUGCGAAGCAAGCCCAUUAGCGGAUUAGCGCUACAGUAUUAGCGGGCUUAGCGGAUCAGCUGAUAAGCGGCUUAACGAUCAGCUGAUAAGCGGCUUAACGAUCAGCUGAUAAGCGGCUUAACGAUUAGCUGAUAAGCGGCUUAGCGAUUAGCUGUUAAGCGGCUUAGCCGAUCAGCUGAUAAGCGGUUUAGCGGCUUGGGGAAAAGGGGGGGGGGGAGGAAAAAAACCCCGCAGGAACUCGCAAGACAUUUUCGUCUUGCGAAGCAAGCACAUAGGAAAUUCGUUUUGCGAAGCACCUCCAAAACGGAAAACCCUUUCGUCUAGCGGGUUUUCCGUUUUGCAAGGCAUUCGUCUUGCGGGGCACCACUGUAAAGUUUUCCCUCAAAGAAUUCUGGGCACUGUAGUUUGUUAAUGGUUGUUGAGAACUAUAACCCGGAGUUGGGAGAUGCAUGUACUCGGAGAAAUUUUUGUAUACAUUACCAUAAAUAGGAAAGGGGAAACAGGCAAGGAAAGAGAACCCUCUUGCUCUAUCCACCUACUCCUUGCUGUGUGGAGGGAGCUAUGGGACCUAAGUUCAGACCAUGGUAGGAUGAAUGAGAGUGGGAAAUGCUGGGCCCCAAAUAUUAUUUGGAGCCCCAAAUUCAGUGCCUCAAGCCCACCACAUUACAGUGGUACCUCGGGUUACAUAUGCUUCAGGUUACAGACUCCUCUAACCCAGAAAUAGUACCUCGGGUUAAGAACUUUGCUUCAGGAUGAGAACAGAAAUCGUGCUCCGGCGGUGUGGCGGCAGCAGGAGGCCCCAUUAACUAAAGUGGUGCUUCAGGUUAAGAACAGUUUCAGGUUAAGAACGGACCUCUGGAACGAAUUAAGUACUUAACCCGAGGUACCACUGUACUUGAAAGGAAGAAGGGGAAACAGCAAGUGGCAACUUAAUAGAAUGUAUUACAUUCUUGAGCCAGGACUUACCUAAUAGGAAAGGGGAGGGGAAAGAGGAACAGCUUGGGUAGGUGUGAUUUAAAGUGUUCCUAAGCAACAGAAGAGAAUACAGUGGAUGGAGUUAGACAUAGCGAAGCAUUGUGAAGCUCUCAGACGUGUAUGGCUUCACAAUCCUGGGAUACGUCCAUAGGCCUCAUUUACACACCCUGGCAGUGCUACUGCUGAAUAAAUGUUCUGGGGGAGGGGAGAAAGCAACAACUGCUCUUUAUUCCAUGGUGGUGGUCUCUGAAUGUUUCCUUUUUACUCCCUCUGGGUAAUAAAGGGCUAUGUAUGUAAUAAAGGUUUACUCCCUCUAGGUGUAAUUUUCUAUUCUUUCUCUUUCUUCAGAUCUCUUCAAAACCACACUAUGGCUGCUCCAAAAGAGCAAAAAGGGCUGCGUACCUGGCAUUCCAUAGGGGUUUUACACAAGAAUAAGGAGGGAAAGCUUGUGGCUGGUCUGGGUGUAUGUGUGUGUGUGUGAGAGAGAGAGGGGGGGCGCUGGCUAUAUCCUGGAAGGAAAAAUAAUUGAUUUGUUGUGUGAAUAAAAGCAAAUGUUUGUUUUCUCUUGUUCUAGUUUUCUGAUAAUGGAGGUGACGUAAGUGUUUAAUGUCUAAAGGGAGAAGUGUUGCGUUUUUAAUUCACAUGGGAGCUAUGCUUAAUUCUGCAAGCCCAGGCUCCCAAUUCAGCAUUGGGAAGCUGUGAUUAUUUAGUGAUUAGUAGAAAGCUUAUGACUAAAGCAUUGCUAUUUAAUAUUUCUGCUUAAAAAUACUGUGCUAAGAAUUCAUCAACUAAUCUUAAGCUAGUCACCCAUUACUGUGCCUUGAUGUUUCUUAGUUGUAAAGUUAGGCUGGCAUCUUUGGAACAGAAUAAAUUUGAAGUGGACACGAUUGGCUCUGAAAUGAGCGAAGCCAUUUCCGCAAAAAUCAGGAAUUGGCUCCUUUGUGAACCAAUAGAAAUUUGACAGCUUGAAGCAAGAUAAUUGUUUCCUUCCCGCUUCAUUUAUGCUCAUGUCUGAGUUAGGCUAAGAAAUGGUGACCAGUCCAAGGUCACAUGGUCAGUUUCCUAGCUGAGUAGGAAUUCAGUGCAAAUGCAGUUUCUGUAGUUUCUUUAAGUUCAACUUAACAAAUCAUAAAGUACUUGAGACAAAAUGAGUUACUAUUUGUUUUUCAGUGGCUAGAAAUUGUUAAUACAAUCAGAUGAAAAACACUAGUGCAGACAAGCAUAUUUUGAAUGUGAAGGUCAGUCUUCUCCACAAUGAUAAGGUGCAUUUAUAUUAUAUUAUAGGCUUGAUUAUUGUAACUCACUCUAUGUGGGGCUGCCCUUGAAACUGACCCAGAAACUCCAGCGGGUGCAGAAUGCCUUGGCGAGACUCCUCACGGGUUCCUUGCCGUGGGAGCACAUUCGUCCAGUGCUAUACCAGCUGCACUGGCUCCCAGUGGAGUACAGGAUCAGGUUUAAGGUACUGGUUUUAACCUUUAAAGCCCUAUACAGCCUAGGACCCUCGUACCUACGGGACUGCCUCUCCUGGUAUGCCCCACGGAGGACCUUAAGGUCUGCAAAUAAUAACACCCUGAAGAGCCCAGGCCCCAGGGACAUUAGACUGGCCUUGACCAGAGCCAGGGCCUUUUCGGCCAUGGCCCCAGCCUGGUGGAAUGCUCUAUCACAAGAGACCAGGGCCCUGCGAUAUUUGACAUCUUUCCGCAGGGCCUGCAAGACAGAGCUGUUCCACCAGGCCUUUGGUCAGGGUUCAAUCUGAUUUUUUUCUUUCUGUAUAAGAGGCUUCCUAGCCCGCUCACAGGUCCUUUAUAAGACCAGUGGUAACAGUUGGCCCUGGGGAAUAUUAACCACUCUCAAUUUUACAUGUGGACUGCCACCUGUCCAGAUUUUAAUAUGCUCUGAACUAAUUUUAAGAUGUAUUUUAAUUAAUUGAUUGCCUGUUUUUAUGUUUUUAUGUUCUUUGUAUACUGUGUUAGUUUUAUGAUGUUAACCGCCCUGAGCCCGGCUCCAGCCGGGGUAGAAAUAAUUUCUUUAUUAUUAUUAUUAUUAUUAUUUAAAUUUGAAUCUGUAUGUAGAAAUUGCCAUAUUUAAAUUAGUGUCCUUUUUUGUUCUCUUUUGGCUGAUGUAUAAACAACCAUCCUAAGGGAAAAAGUAAAGUCCCUGACAGCACCUUCAUAGAUGAAAGGAAACUAAUAAUGAGUAAGCUUGAAAUAACCCUCAAUAGUCCACAGCUGGCCAUAAAGUCCAAAUGACAGAAAGAGCAAGCUGUAAACUAAAUUCAACAUUUAUUUAUUCAAAAUGUUCCCGGCUAUCUUCAGUUCUUCAGGCAGCUUGCAAUAUAUUAUUUUUUAAAAAUAUGUAAAGCAAACAUCAGUACAGAAACACAACACAAUUUUAUCAGGUGCAAAAUAGCAGCCUACAUGAUUUGCCACUCUUAACAGUGUUUAAGUGCUUUGGACCUGUCCCCCAGGCCAAAACCAAGUGGCAGCUGACUAGCUUGUCUUUGGUCGCACAUAAUACCACAGUUUUUCAGAAGCAUUUAGUACUUGAAUUAUUUAGUGGGCAGAGGGGAGUUAAUAGGGCCCAUGAUGAAAUUCACAAGCUCCACCCCUUACUUUCAAUUUUAGCCAAAUCAUGCCCCCAUAGCCUUAAAAGGCUUCUAAAAGGUAAGAGGGGCAGGGUCCUUUCAGUGCCAUGGUUAAGCGGCAUUUGGGUUUCUGGUGAAAGCUCAAGUCCCACAUACAUGUUUAAUAAAGGCUUACAAAAAAGCUUGUCUCACUUGAAGAAAUAGCCUCAAAGUGGUUCUGAAAAUGCUUUUUAAAAAUCUUUCUCCUAUUUUGAAACAUUAAAUUUUCCAAUGAUUGGGGUGCCCCCUUGAGUAUUCUAUGUUUAUUACAGCUUCAUGAUAACUGGUGGUGUUUACCUGAAGCUUUGAAAAGUAUGCUAAUAGAACACCAAUAUAAACUAAUAAUAUUGCAGCAUUUUGAAUAAUACAUGAAAAGGGAAUAGUGGGAGGAGUGAUUGAAGUUAAAUAUAUUGUAUACCUAAUGUUGUGUUUAAAAUAAAGAAAACAUUUAUUCUGAAGAAAGUUGUGGGAGAUACAAUUCAAAUUUACAUUUAAUUUGCAUCCCCACAUCUCAAUCUAUUUCAAUCUGGUUUCAGGCCCUGUUUUAGCACUGAAAGCGGCUUCAUUGUUCAGAUUAAUUACCUCUUUUUGAAAAGAGACUGGGGGAAUACAGCCCCCUUGGUUCUCCUUGGUCUCACAGCAGCUUUUGACAGCAUUGACCAUGGUGUCCUUCUGGAACAGUGUUUUUCUACCUUGGGUCCCCAGAUGUUGUUGGACUACAACUCCCAUCAUCCCUGAGCUCUGGCCUUGCAAGAUAGGGAUGAUGGAAGUUGUAGUCCCAAAACAUCUGGGGAUUGAGAAAGGCUGUUGGAACAAUUUAGGGUGAGAGUAGGAGAUACUGUAUUAUGGUUGAAAUUUUAAAAUGUGAUGAUAAGUCAUUGUUUUCAAUGCUUUUAGAUUUAAUAUUCUUAAACAUAGUUAGCUGUUUUUAAUUGCUUUGAAAUGAUUUAGAUGUGUUUUAAAUCUUCUAAUUAAAAAUCUUUAAUCUUCUAAUUGGGGUGUUCCUUCUGGGGUGGUUUGUCUACCUUUGGUCUGCACCCAGAACUCAGCUCUCAAACCCUGGGAAACAGCUUUGACUGGCUGGCUAAACCAGUUGAAGGUAGCCAAUGGGUUUUAAACCUUUGGUGAAGUAGGGACUUUCCCUUCAUGCAAAGACAGGCUCCAGUGGAUUGAGAGGACAAGACCAGUAGUGGGUCCAAUGGACAGGAAGGCAGUUUCUGCAUGUGCUUUAGAGGGAAGUGGGAAGCAGAUGGGGUUUGUCAACCUGGGAAAGUAGGCUGUCUAGGAAAAGGAAAACUCUUCUAAGCCUCCAUUGCCUUGCAGGAUAUCUUUAGGAAAAGAAAAGGCUAAGGAGUAAAUCCUAUACAAAUCUGGAUUGGAGUCCCUAAGAUGGUUGGAUGGCACCUUAUAUGCUGCAGUCCAGCAACUCCUACAGCCAAGUUGGUGCCAAACGUAUUGCUCUGCUUUACUUUGAACCACAUCAGUGAGGCCGAGAGAUGGGUCUUGCUGUCUGGGCAGCCCAGGACCUUCAUACACAGUGCCCAGGCUUGUACACUGUGGAAACAUACUUUGGUGCUGAUAAUGUAGCAGUUUGGCUUUCCCGAUGCACACUCCAUUGUCUCUUGAGACAGACAGAUACCAACAACAAUCUUCUAAUUGUAUUGGUUUAACAUUUUAUUGUUUGUUGCCUGAGGCUUCCUUUGAAAGGAAGGAUGGGACAGAAAAUUAAUUAAUUAAUCUUAAAGUUAAAUCCAAUGAGAUUGCUAACAAAAACCCAUCAUUACUGCACCACCUGCAGCAUCCAGGGUACGUAGACGUCAUACCCAGUUUCUAGCAGUGGAUCCCUGUUGCAAAAUUCUAACUCUUCAUUAAAGGACACACUAGGUAUAUCACAUGUAAAUGAAGAAAGGUGUACCAGGCCAUCUCAUGAUCACCUACCUGGGUGAUCAUUUUAACUCAAUCCCACUCCCAUUGAUAUUCAAUCAAGCACCAGGCCACUCUUGCUUCAGAGUAGACCAGGUGGGUCCUUUGUUCUCAGAACCUGUGAGCCCAGAUCAUCACAGUAUCCUCAUAAGGACUUUUCCUAACUUUCUAUGCUUAGGUUCCUACCCCGUCCCCCGUAACUUACUUCUUCUAGGCUUGCCACGGUGCACUAUUAACAAAGAAAUAACUACAACUUCUAUAUUCACCGCAGCGGCCUUUCCUUUGGUCAUCACUUCCUACUUGGCCUGUAGGAAAUUAUCUGCAGGGUUGAGGUAGAGGGAGCCAUCCAGUAGCAGAUGGGACAGUGAAACUCCACCUCUUUCCUGGCCUUCCUUCAGCUAAGUUGCUGCUGCAUACUAAGGAGGGGCAAGGCAUUGACAAGAUUGACAUGGGGCAAACACGUUGAUACAAGCACCAGAUUGGCUGCAGCACUGUGUUUGCACUACAUUGAUCUCGCCAUCAGCUCUCCCUCUGCAUCCCAGUAUGCAGCAGUGACUCAGCUGGAGAAAGGUCAGGGAAGUAGUGCAGCUCCAUCACCUUAUCCACUAUUGAAGUCAUCCUCUUCUUUGCCUGUUAAGGUCUGACUGUGCUCUUAUGGCAAGCACCAAAUUCUAUGAGGCUUUUCCUGCAGUCUCCUCUUCAUCUACAGCCUGACCUUGCAGUCUGCCCCCCUGCAAGGACAUAUGAAGGUAUAACACCAUUAGUGCUGCCUCCUUCAGGCAUGUUGCAAAUGGGCAAAAAUCUUUUCUCAUUCAAAUUGAAGGCAGGAAGCAUUCAAGUUAGAUUUGGCUUCAAUCAGAUUUUGCUAUACGAUAAUUACGUAUAUGGUUUCAUGUCAGUGUCAUAAAUUCAGAGGUUGGGCAAUGCUUUCUGCCCUCCCUCUGAAUUGCCUUCAUGAAGACAUCACAUAGUCAUGAUUGCCAUAUCUUAAUCACAUUCAUGGCAUGUUCCCAGAUUGGCUGGGAUCACAGUUUUCUGUGAUUUAAAAGAAGACCCUAUUAGAAAAUAGCACCAUAGCAAUUUCCAGUCAAAGUGGUGCACUGGUGCAAAAACCUUUUUUUUCUUCAGAGAAAAUAGCCUCCCGGCUUCCCCCAGCCCUGCUUUUAAUACCAGCCCGGGGGGGGGGGGGCUGAGUAGCCAUUCACAUGAGAUAAAAAAAAAGAGAAAAUAAGUGGCCAACAUUAAUGAUGAUACAACAUUGCUCAAAGUUUGUUGGGGGGUUUUAAGCUUUAUGUGACUUUCAACUUUUUCUUGCCAUUACUAUAUUUAUGGAGAUAUGGCUUUCUAACAUAAGAGCAAGCUUUUAUUGCUGUUAGUAUGACAGCAUUCAUGCUAUGCUUUCAUUCCCCCUUUUCUCAGUCCCAUCCUCCACAUUACUUUUUAUAGCGAUCAAUACCUUGAGUCUGGCAAGGAAUCUCUCAGGGCUUUCAGACUUCUGCUUUUCUCAGUUAAUGGUCAAAGCUCCAUUUCAGUCUAACACAAUGUUCUCCCCCAACAGUCCACUGAGGUAACUAAUGUAAUCCGGAGAUGACAGAUAAUAAACUUUGCAAUGAGAUCUGUUCCAUAGGAAAUAAUAUAAGAAGAAAACACUGUAUUCAAGAAAUCCCAAAUUCUCCUAUGUCUAUAAUUUUCCCUUAUUCAGUAUAUUGCUGAAAUUCACUGCAGUAUAUGACUCGCAUAUUCUAUUAUUUAAAACCUACUACAUCAUUUGUAUAGAACAGUGGGUAACCCUAUAAAUCCCUAACAGCCUGUGACAUAGAAGAGAUAGCGGAAGAAUGAUUGAUAGCAAGAGAGUGGAAAUAAAUUAAUAAAUGGAAUGUUGGGCAGCAUUAACAUGAGGGACAGGUAGAGAGUGUCAUCUGAAGAAUGACAGAGUGGGGAAACUGUGGCUGUGAGAAGCAGAGGGAAGUUAAAAGAAAAUGAAAUGAGAGAGAUAAUGACAGUAUAUGUAGAAGUGUUAGGAUAGCUGUUAUGAAACAUGGGAUAAUCGAUAAUGUUAAAUUAGGAAAUAAGAACACUAAACUCUGCAUACAAUCUUCUUCUGCAUGUCCCUUCUAUAUAUUUUUAUAUUUUAAGCGACUGUUCUGUUCUGGGUGGAUUCUAGGGUCAGUGUGUCACACCGCAGGUGUCUUGUACUCGAGUAACACUAUAAAGGGAAAAUUCAACAGUUCUCUACAAGUCUAUAGAUGUUGACAGCAGGUAAUUUGAAGGACAUCUGGAAUCAGUGGAGUAGGCCCUUUUGAGUAACCCCAGGGAUAUCACAAUAGGUUUCAGAGUGUUGGACUUGGUAGCUGGGAUGCUGCAUACAACCAGGUUUUAUGCCAGCACAACUACUGCAGUGUUCUUCUGUCCCUGGAAAGGCUGGCAAGAAUACGCUUCUCAAAAUCCUUACUGGUGAUUGAAGCUGCACAUGCCAGCUUUCAUAGCUCUGACAAAAUUACAGUGGCUCAUAAGUUGUCGCCUAAAGGGCAGUGCUCAAAUUACUAGGAUAAAGAUAGAGACCUUUAGUCAAAUUGUAAGCCCCUGUAGCCUUCUAUAGUUGUGGCAGCUUAUCACAAAAAGAUAAGAAGGUCCCCUGUAAUUCAAGCCCUGGUUGCUAAAGAGGUAAGUUGCUUAUAAAGAAUUUGAAAAUUGAUCAGAAUUAAAAAGAAUGUUAUCAGUGACUUCAACUUACAAGGUUUCCCCGCAAGGCAAAAGGUCUCAUAUGUCUCAUAUACCACUCGGAAGGGAUAGUACUAUUCUGGGGCUUGCUAUGCAGACCCAGACAGUCAUUAUUGUCAGGUAAAAUGCACUAAUUAGGCUCCUGUGGGAUUUGGAUUCCAGAGUGUUGUGCACUAAAUAGCCACAAAGUACGGCUUAUAUUUCUUCUUUCAUUUUGCAAUACAAUAAGCACCAAAUAAAGUGUGUAAAUAACUCUCCGUGAAAGAUGGGGAGAGUGCAAUGAUAGAAGAGACUGAAAGCCACAGUUUUGUGCACCUGUCUGGGCUAGGUGUGGCCAGCUGUUACUGUCAUCCUUGCGUCUGAUCCAAAUGCAGAAAUAGUCAGUGGCAGGACAACAGCCCUUGUAGAUGAGGCUCUGCAACAGGCCAAACCAGUGUAUGGGAGGUUGAUGUGGUAGAAGGUUUUGUAGUAAUCACAAGCACUUUAAAUUGUGUUUUGAUGCAAACAAGUCAUUGGAACACUUUAAGCUCUGGCAAGAAGUUCUUCCAAUGCCAGGUUCCAGUUAGUUCCCUUGCAGGUUCUGGACAAUCCCAGUGCAGUACAUUGAAGUAGUCUUGCCUGAAGGUUACCAAAACAUGGGUAACUGCUUAGCCAAGAUGUCUAUCCUUCAGCUGUCAAACUUAACUGGUAGCAUUCUCUGACAAUAAGACUACUUGGUUGUCUAGUAACAAAACUGGAUCAAUGAGCUGCAUUCCUCUAAGCACCUUGUACACAUCCUCAGGCCAAAAUAACUGACAUUCUUCUCUCAAUCCACAUUUACAUGAUAGUCUAGACAUAUCUGUAGACAGAAGUGCUGAAUUAGUGGAGUCCAAGUUGAGGCAGAUACCAGUGACCUUUAUCCUCAAAGUUCUUAGCAGAGUGGCCUCUGAGAGUUCCUUAUCAUCAUCCUAUAGGCAAGCUGAAGUAGAUCCAAGACCCUGAGGGUACAAAGCUUGCAGAGCAGUAUUGCUUCUUCACUGCCAUCACCACUACAGAGAAAGCUCAAUAAUAAACUCUUAAUUAUAUUUAGUCAGAUUCACCAGUAAAUGUCUUUCACUUUCAUUAUCCUACCCUGCUUCUAGCUCCCUAGACCUGAAAUGGCAGAAUGGACACAACUGAAGGAGUGCCAGUCUUUUUAUUAGUUCUAAGUACUGUAUGAACUUGUCAGCUAACACCUCAAAGCUUGAAGUGCCAUGGCACUUGUACAUUCUUGGUUGACAACCCUUUUUAUAAGCCUUCCAAGGAAGGAUUGUGGGACAAAGCAUCUAGAAAAAAAUCAACUGUCCUUUCUCUGCAACAAGUUGAAGAAAAGUCUUGUCUCUUUCAUUGAAAGUGUUUAAUGUUUAACAAUUCUAAAUUCUAAAUCUGAAUUUAGAUUAAAAACAUAUCCUAGGAGAUUUUUGUGCAACAAAAGCAUUUUUCAGACACGUGCAAACAUUUACAAAUCUAAAUUGAAAAGGUGUUAACAGAAACACAACAAAAAUAAUUUACUGAGGGGUAAGUAACCAUUAAUCAUGAAGGUAUAAAUAACACAGUUUGAUGUGUGUGCCAUUUCACAUUAGCUGGAAAUGAAUGGUUCAUGUGUGCUUAUGCAUGUAAAAUCUGAUGGUGACUCAGCUGAAAGUCUGUUUGCUUUUGUGUCAAGGUCUGUAUGUGAAGUCAAUUUGAGAAGAAAACCUAACACCAUGAGCUCUGUCUGUAAAAGUUUAAAAGGCAAGAGAACUACAUAAUCAAAGUAGAGAAAAACAGGAAGUCUCAAAACUGGCAGAUUAAGAAUAAUUUGUAGUGCCCUUAAAAACUAAUUUCAGGAGAUUUUACUUAAUCAUAGAUUUAAACAUUUAUAUACCACUUUUCUUCAUAAAAUCAACUCAAAAAGUUGAUAAACACAUUUAAAAUAAAUCAAGAGUAUGAUAAAAUAAUUCAGCAUAAAAACAGGGAGACAAAACUAUAACCGACAGUAAAAGCUCAGUGAAACAGAAAGGUCUAAGCAGCUCACCUGAAGUUUAUUUGUGCAAGAUGUCAGUAUGAGAUGAACCAAACUACCGUAAGUGUAACAGUGACAGUCCUGUGAAUUUAAACACUGAACUGACCCAAUAACUUACAAAUGUUUCAUUUUAACACAGGCUUCCUAAACCUCGGCUCUCCAGAUGUUUUUGGCCUACAACUCCCAUGAACCCUAGCUAGCAGGGCCAGUGGACAGGGAUGAUGGGAAUUGAACUCUCGAAACAUCUGGGGGGCCGAGGUUGAGGAAGCCUGUUUUAACAGAAAAGGGACUGCAUGUACAAAGAGUACUAAAUCCUUACCCCCUCUUCCUCCUCAUAUCGCCUUUAUCCAGCUGCUUUUCUUCCCAGCCAAACUCCAAAGCUAGGUGAACUUAGCUGGGCAAAAACCACUUGGGCGUGGGGUGAGUUCAUCAUUCCUUAUCAGUAUGCUUCUUGUGCUAUUAAAAUCACAUACAAGUCAUUUAGCAGAGUACCUAUGCAUUUUGCCUUGUAACUUUCUUUCUAGAAGAACUAGACUUUAAAAAAAAGAAAAGAAAGAAAUCUCAGAGUCUGAGAUCUCUUCUGGUUGUGGAUGUGGUACAUCUGUACCUCUUGUCCUGCCUCUAAGUGUUCCUGCAUAUACAUGCUGUCUUUCUUGUGAGUGAGGAAUUCUGAAUUUACAUGGAACUACAAUAAUCAUAGGGAUGGGGGUGGCGCUGUGGGUUAAACCACAGAGCCUAGGACUUGUCCAUCAGAAGGUCGGCGGUUUGAAUCCCCGUGACGGGGUGGGCUCCCGUUGCUCAAUCCCUGCUCCUGCCAACCUAGCAGUUCGAAAGCACGUCAAAGUUCAAGUACAUAAAUAGGUACUGCUCCGGCGGGAAGGUAAACGGCAUUUCCAUGCGCUGCUCAGGUUCGCCAGAAGUGGCUUAGUCAUGCUGGCCACAUGACUUGGAAGCUGUAUGCCGGCUCCCUCGGCCAAUAAAGCGAGAUGAGCGCCGCAACCCCAGAGUCGGUCACAACUGGACCUAAUGGUCAGAAUUACCUUUACUUUAUUAUAAUCAUAUCUAGUUUAUUCCUAACAAAAUCUGUUGAUAGUCUUGCGGAUACAGUGGUGGUGACUUUCUUUUCGUUUGAGAAUAACAACUCUCACCCACUUGCUCAUGGUAGGGUGUCACCUGUGGGCCAGAAAACCAUGGAAAAAUCCCUACAGUGUAUAUUGCAGUUCUCAUGCACUUCCCAAAAGAAUCAGCAUGCAGGAGAGAAGCGUACACAGAGCCCAAGUUCUCCACUUGCUCCCUGCGGAAAAAUAUAAUAUGCCUUUUAAGCUAAACAGCAACUCCUUUCAUUAGCAGCAGAAGCAAAAACAGCCAGCCAAGCUUGGAUUGCAUGCACAGGUCUUUCCAUCCCAUACAAUUCUCUCUUUUUGGAUCUUGGCCAGUGUAUUCAGAAUUAGACUAUUCACUUCACAUAGCUAUGGUUCAGAUCAUUACUAUGCGAAUUGGAAAGAGGAGAGAAGAACCUAAAAGAUGUAUCAUUCCAUCAUAAGAGACUUUUUAAAAAAAUUGAGUUUAUAAACAGCAGAAGAAGAGUUAGGGCAGGUUCAUUUACUUCAUAAUUGGCUACUUAUUUGCACAUUGAACAAGUCAAGGUGGUCUACUUGUGUGUAAUGAGGAGAAGGGGACUCACAAAAUACUGUAUUGGAAAUGUCCAUAAUCAGCUCACUGAUAAGGAAGUUUCCAUGAAUUUACUUUUCCCAUGUUAUGAAACUACAUAUGCAGACUUCUGAACCGUUAAAUGCAGAAAUAUGUGGAUGAUUGUAACGUAUGAAUCUGGAAUUAAGGUAAUAAGGGCAGAACAUACCCUUAGCCUUUGGUAAUAGAUAUUUUCAUAAUAUAUUUAUAGUUAAUGGAUAAUUUCAUAAUAUAUCUACUUAAGUGUGUAGCUGCUUCCAGAGCUGGUAUCUACUCUGAAGAACUCCUUAAAAAAUAGUAUGAAAUGGUUCUGGUUUGCUUUCUUACUGUUGUUGUUUAGUCGUUUGGUCGUGUCCGACUCUUCGUGACCCCAUGGACCAGAGCAUGCCAGGCACCUCUGUCCUCCACUGCCUCCCGCAGUUUGGUCAAACUCAUGCUGGUAACCUCGAAAACACUAUCCAACCAUCUCGUCCUCUGUCGCCCCCUUCUCCUUGUGCCCUCCAUCCUUCCCAACAUCAGGGUCUUCUCCAGGGGGUCUUCUCUUCGCAUGAGGUGGCCAAAGUACUGGAGCCUCAGCUUCACGAUUUGUCCUUCCAGUGAGCACCCAGGGCUAAUUUCCUUAAGAAUGGAUGCGUUUGAUCUUCUUGCAGUCCAUGGGACUCUCAAGAGUCUCCUCCAGCACCAUAAUUCAAAAACAUCAAUUCUUCGGCGAUCAGCCUUCUUUAUGGUCCAGCUCUCACUUCCAUACAUCACUACUGGGAAAACCAUAGCUUUAACUAUACGGACCUUUGUUGGCAAGGUGACGUCUCUACUUCUCAAGAUGUAGAGGUUUGCCAUCGCCUUUCUCCCAAGAAGCAGGCGUCUUUUCAUUUCGUGGCUGCUGUCACCAUCUGCAGUGAUCAUGGAGCCCAAGAAAGUAAAAUCUCUCACUGCCUCCAUUUCUUCCCCUUCUAAUUGCCAGGAGGUGAUGGGACCAGUGGCCAUGAUCUUCGUUUUUUUUAUGUUGAGCUUCAGACCAUAUUUUGCGCUCUCCUCUUUCACCCUCAUUAAAAGGUUCUUUAAUUCCUCCUCACUUUCUGCCAUCAAGGUUGUGUCAUCUGCAUAUCUGAGGUUGUUGAUAUUUCUUCCGGCAAUCUUAAUUCCGGCUAGAGAUUCAUCCAGCCCAGCCUUUCGCAUGAUGAAUUCUGCAUAUAAGGUAAAUAAGCAGGGAGACAAAAUACAGCCUUGUCGUACUCCUUUCCCAAUUCUGAACCAAUCAGUUGUUCCAUAUCCAGUUCUAACUGUAGCUUCUUGUCCCACAUAGAGAUUUCUCAGGAGACAGAUGAGGUGAUCAGGCACUCCCAUUUCUUUAAGAACUUGCCAUAGUUUGCUGUGGUCGACACAGUCAAAGGCUUUUGCUUAGUCAAUGAAGCAGAAGUAGAUGUCUUUCUGGAACUCUCUAGCUUUCUCCAUAAUCCAGCUCAUGUUUGCAAUUUGGUCUCUGGUUCCUCUGCCUCUUCUAAAUCCAGCUUGCACUUCUGGGAGUUCUUGGUCCACAUACUGCUUGAGCCUUCCUUGAAGAAUUUUAAGCAUAACCUUGCUAGCGUGUGAAAUGAGUGCAAUUGUGCGGUAGUUGGAGCAUUCUUUGGCACUGCCCUUCUUUGGGAUUGGGAUGUAGACUGAUCUUCUCCAAUCUUCUGGCCACUGCUGAGUUUUCCAAACUUGCUGGCAUAUUGAGUGUAGCACCUUAACAGCAUCAUCUUUUAAAAUUUUAAAUAGUUCAGCUGGAAUACCAUCACUUCCACUGGCCUUGUUAUUUGCAGUGCUUUCUAAGGCCCAUUUGACUUCCCUCUCCAGGAUGUCUGGCUCAAGGUCAGCAACCACACUACCUGGGGUAUACGAGACAUCUAUAUCUUUCUGGUAUAAUUCCUCUGUGUAUUCUUGCCACCUCUUCUUGAUGUCUUCUGCUUCUGUUAUGUCCUUUCCACUUUUGUCCUUUAUUAUGGUAAUCUUUGUACGAAAUGUUCCUUUCAUAUCUCCAAUUUUCUUGAACAGAUCUCUGAUUCUUCCCAUUCUACUGCUUUCCUCUAUUUCUUUGCAUUGCUCGUUUAAGAAGGCCUUCUUGUAUCUCCUUACUAUUUUUUGGAAAUCUGCAUUCAAUUUCCUGUAUCUUUCACUAUUUCCCUCGCAUUUUGCUUGCCUUCUCUCCCCCGCUAUUUGUAAGGCCUCAUUGGACAGCCACUUUGCUUUCUUGCAUUUCCUUUUCAUUGGGAUGGUGUUCGUUGCUGCCUCCUGUAUAAUGUUGCGAGCCUCCAUCCAUAGUUCUUCAGGCACUCUGUCCAGCAAAUCUAAAUCCUUAAACCUGUUCCUCACUUCCACUGUGUAUUCAUAAGGGAUUUGAUUUAAAUUGUAUCUUACCGGCCCAGUGGUUUUUCCUACUUUCUUCAGUUUAAGCUUGAAUUUUGCUAUAAGAAGCUGAUGAUCUGAGCCACAGUCAGCUCCAGGUCUUGUUUUUGCUGACUGUAUAGAGCUUCUCCAUCUUUGGCUGCAGAGAAUAUAAUCAAUCUGAUUUCAAUGCUGCCCAUCUGGUGAUGUCCAUGUGUAGAGUCGUCUCUUGUGUUGUUGGAAAAGUGUGUUUGUGAUGACCAGCUUGUUCUCUUGACAGAACUCUAUUAGCCUUUGCCCUGCUUCGUUUUGAUCUCCAAGGCCAAACUUGCCAGUUGUUCCUUUUAUCUCUUGACUCCCUACUUUAGCAUUCCAAUCCCCUAUAAUGAGAAGAACAUCCUUCUUUGGUGUCACUUCUAUAAGGUGUUGUAAGUCUUCAUAGAAUUGGUCAAUUUCAGUUUCUUCAGCACCAGUAGUUGGUGCAUAAACUUGGAUUACACUUUCUUAUUAGUUCACUGAUUUCUAAUGCUGCUGCUUUGUGGUGAAAGGGCUCAUCUGCACUUCUGCUUUUCCCACAAUGUUGUUUUACCACUGAAUCGAAGCAAAUGUCAAUUGGGUUUUCUCUGAAUUUACAUUUGCUCCAAUUUAGCACCGAAGAGUGGGUUUUCCAUGACAAAGCAGUGGGACAAAGGCGAAACCACUUGGACCCAUGCCUAGAAAUCACGGGACAAGUGGAAAACUGCUUGGACCCAUGCCUUCUAGUCAUGGGACAAGCAGAAGUGUGGGUGAACCCUUAGUCAGGCCUGGUGUUAGCACCAUACUGGGCCAUUUGCUGGUGCCCAUGCACUUCUGCAGAGCCCAGCAGGGUUGGCCCCUUGCCUGGACACCUGCAGUAUCUGCCACUAUUUAGGCUCCCUUGUGGCAGAGUUCCGCCUGGUAAGAUGGAGAGGUUAUACUCAUUAGUCAAAUGGAGACUAGGCAUCAGCCAACCUUACCCUCUCACUUAAUGGGCUUACCCAGCAACAUUGUAAUGGACUGGGAUCUGAACAGUCACCCAGUUCCUGGCCCAUUACAGAGCCACCGGAGAACAAAUUCAUGAGUAACUGCAAGGAAAAGACUGGUGGGUGUGCUUUCUCUCUAAUAGCUGGCCCGUUCUAUCACCGCCGCUGCCAGGUAAGCCUGUGAGCACGAGAAAGAAGCUGACUGCCACCAGCUUGGGUAGCUUUAAAAGAGGGUUGGACAAAUUCAUAGAAGAUAAGGAUAUCAUUGGCUACUAGCCAUGGUGGGUAUGCUCUGCCUCCACAGUUGGAGGCCAUAAUGCUUCUGAAUAACAGUUGCUGGAAGUCACAGGAGAGGAGAAUGCCCUUGUGCUUGGGUCCUGUUUUCAGGUUUUGCAUAGUUCGGCCACUACGAGAACAGGGUGCUGAACUAUGUGGGCCACUGUCUUGAUCCAGCAAGUUUUUCUUACGUUCUUACAUCUUUAGUUGCAGGAACACCACUUCCAUGGGUCCAGCUACAAGUGAGUGCUUCAACAAAUGUAGAUUGUUGAAAAUCUGGAGCCAGACCUGUUUGUUUUAAAGUUGUUUUAUUCAGAAGUUACGAUUAUUAAGAUGUCUGUUAGCUGAUUUGAGGGUCUAGUACUGAAACUCUGAGCAUCCCAAUUUCACAAUGCUCUCUCACUUUAUUUGUAUGGUGCCUGCUUUUCAGCUUUCCCAACUCCAUGGAAUAACUUUUUUAUUAUUUACUCAGACACAUUCUACCUUCUCGUAAAAUUUAGUUGUUUUUUUUAUUUCAUCUGUUUAAAUAUUAUUUGUAUGAUAUUGACAUACAAAUUAUUGUAUACCACCCUGGAAUCCUAAAUAGGAAUAAAGAUUUAAAUAAAUAAAUGCUUUAAAUUAAUAAAUAGAAACAUUUCAAUAAAUGAAUAAAUUGACACACUUUAAUGAGUGUGAUUGGCAAGCACAUGGCAUCCCCUGUGCCAAGCAAAGUUCUUUUCCUUGAAACUGAGAAUGAAGUGCUUCUAAAAUGAGAUGCUAUCAUAAGACGUAAGCAGAAAGCUAAAAGGCCAGGUUCUGCAUGAAGUAAAUGAAUUAUGUCUCUGCAUGACUGAAGCCAUCCUCACAAAUUGAUACUAAUUGGGAACCUUGUUGACAUUGUGGGUGCUAAGACCAUGGAUGAUAUCAGCCCAGAGUAGCUUCCCACACUUGAAUCAGAUCCUGCUGUGCCAAAAAUCAGGUAGUAUGCCUGGCACAACAAAAGGGCCAGGCUUUUAUAUAUUGAGUCAUGUUGCGUGACUUGAUAUAUAUAUUUAUUUUUCCCCUGUGGAUCCAGAAAUGUUUAUUUAAAACAUUUGCUGUCCCACUGUAAUAAAACAGUUUUAAAAUCAAGAAAUGAAGCACUUUUUGAGAAACAAUGAGGAGCUGCUGCAAAGAAAACUCACCUCGAAUCACUACCUGGCUCUGGUGCAGGGAAAUAUACAGAAAUGUUUUCCUUUCCUUACUGUCUGCCCUGAUGUGAACAUGAAGGAAGAUAGUGAAAUGGAUUUUGGCAAACACUCUGCUAUUAAACUGAAAGUCAAGGCUAAAAGCAGAGUAAAAGCUUAUUUAGCUGCAGGAUGUUCCUUUGUCAUCAGGAGUCCUGAUUCAACUAUCUCUUAAAUGAUGCAUGCGGUGGGCUGUAAGUAAAGGAUGACAACAGUUCUUUUCUUCCAUCCAUAAACCAGUGACUAACACAGCCCUGCUUUUUGCCUUAAUGAGUCAUGAGGGGCACACAAUGGUGAUCAUGAAUCUUUUGCAAUCAGGACUUGCUUUCAGUAUAUGUUAAUUUUUGCAGGCCAUAAUCAAGAUAUUGUAGGUUGAAGGACAGUGUGGAAAAUGAGUCCUUUUUGAUUGGCUUUUAUAUUCAGAAAUACAGGGAUAAUGAUUGAUGGACUCAUUUCCUGUUUCCCGGGGGGGGGGGAGAAAAAGGGGAGAAGAAGAGGGGAAGGGGGGGAAACAGGCUCAGAGAGAGGCGAGGACAUGAAAGUGCAGCAGCCCUCAAAUAGACUUCUGUGGGAGUUUUGGAGCUUAGUAACUGAUGGAAGCAUUUGUCAUUGAGAAAGAAAACAGCAGAUAAUAGAUGGACACAAGAUGCCAGGGGUGACAGACGAUGACAGGGAGAGGAUCCUGAUGAGCAACAAUAGGUCUAGCAGAGAUGGCAGAUGAAGACAGAAAGUUAAAAAAUUGAGUUGGGUAAUAUUUAUUUUCAGAUACCCACUUCAGACAGUAACAUUAAAGAAAUAGUUUUGUAACAGGUUCAGCAACCUUCAACUAAUCAGAAGGAGUCCCAUGUUGUUCAAAGAGAUUUACUUCCAAGUAAGUGUAUACGGUAUCUGAUUUCAUUUUAAAAUCAUCAGAGAAACUUAAACAUUUUAGUUUAUAAGAAAAGGUGACUGUGGAAGAGGGGUGAUAUGAGAUUCCUAGCUGUAGAGUUUAGGAGAUUCACAUCCAUUGCCAACCAGAUGAUCUUUUACCUACUGCCAUGCACUUCACUGAGCAAAAGAACAUAUUGUUUUUCAUCCCAAAAUGUUCUGCAAAAGUACAGGGUUACACUUCAUUUUUCAAAUAGACAUGGAACCUACUCAGCAUGACCAUCAGAUAAUGUGAUAGCUAAAGGAAAACCUGCCCUUGUUGGUUCCCAGCCCAGUGAUUACUGUUAAUGUGCAUUUCCUAGCAAAAGCAUCAUUCUGCCUUUGGAACUUCACCCCAGGUAUUUCAAAGACAACAUUUGUGAUGGUGUGCCAAAAGCAAACUUUAGUGCAUAGCAAUAGAUGCACAAACCGGCUUUAAACAGACUGAAUCCAACACGGACAAUCUCCCCUAAUGCUUAUUCUACACCCACCAGGUACUCAGUUUAGAUAAAUAAUCCUUAAAUCACCUUGUAACAAUCUUAGAGCAGGAGAAGUUAAAGUGUUUCCAUGUUGUAGAGUAAGACCUAGAGAGCAAGGGACCUGGAAGCACAGGGUACUAUUUUAAAUUCCAAACCUAUUCAGAUGCUUAAUACAUUUAUUUCUUUAAAAUAUUUUAUAUCACAUUCUUUUUCAAUUGGCAAUAAUUGCACCUUGGAUUAAUCAUAUUGGCUGCAAUACUGUCACUGCAUAUGUAACCAAAUUAGUUUACAAAAGGUUUGUCACUGAUAAUUUUUGUUUUAAAAAAAACCAUUUGUAGUCUUUAAAACUGCAGCACCAGCAAGGAAAACAGUCUAAAAUGAGAUGAAAGUAUCAGUAAAGAUCUAUGAAGCUGAACAUAGAAAGUAAAGUAUCAUUUAAUACAAUCCUGUGGAAACCAGAGUGCAUCUUGGUUAAUCUAAAAUGACUCAUUUCCCAGGGGAAUGAUCUUGCUACACUCACUUAGCAAGUUGCACUGUCAGCAUAAAGACGAAACGUGAACCUUUAAAACAAGCAAAUCUGGUCUUGCAAUACAAUUAUCAUUAUAUUUAAUAGCCAGUUAUUAAUGUGCUGCAAUAAGUUACACAGUAGCUUUUAACAGGCAGCAGUAUUUUGUCCCAUUACAUAUUUCAGAGAGAAAGUAAUUUCAGAUUUGUUAUCUCCUCCCACUUCACAACAUAAGAGAGAUAUAUUUCCGCUGAUUGGUCUUGGUCAUCUUAAAUAACACAUUUGGCCUACUAGUCAGUUGCGAAAGAUGAAUGCUUUAAUUUCAUACCAUCUUCCCAGUGGAGAUAAUCUCGCAAAACAUAAGAAAGUGGUAACAACAUUUAUUUUCCUGAAAUUAAAAUAUGCUGAUCAAACAUUUUGUUCUUGGCUGUAAUUUAAGGAAAAAUUCAGACUUGUUCAAGAGUAACAAAAUAACUAUUUAAAUUGAAUAUACAUUUAUGUUUUCAUUUUACAUAAAUGGGAGACUAGACAUAUUUUGAAUAGGUAGAAAAUAGAAAGUGGGCAAAGCUUGGUAUAAUACAUGCUUUGUAAGCAGAAGAUCCCAGAUUUUUUUUGUAUAUUAUAUUUCUUUUCGUCUUUUCAAAAUCUUUAGUUAUCAAAUAACCAACUUAAACAGGAAAAACAACCUCAGGUCAGAGACUCAAAUAAUAUCAAAAUAUGCUAAAAUAAUAUUUUUGUUAAACAACAUGUAUAUUUAAUUUUUAUUUUUAUUCAAUUGUAUUCUUUAUUUAUUCUUGUAUGUUUUUGAAUUAUAUGUUCUUGCUUAAAUAAUUUUUACAGAGCAAUUAUGGAGCUUAAUAGAGACACGACACUAGAAAAGCAUCUGUCAAAGUUGAUUUAAGUGUAGUGCUCAAUACAAGAGGUUGGACCAGAUAACCAAAAAUGGCUUCCAAAUUUAUGAAUCUAUGGGUUUUAUCUAAUGCUUUGUACAUGAAGUUCCUCAAACAUGAUGGGACUCCCUCAUGCCCCUGCAAAAUCUGCUCUGGAGAAUCCUCCAACCCUCUGGACUAUAUUUUAAUGGCAGGCUGCAAGGUAUAGGAGGGGUGGAAAUACUGUUGCGCAAGCAAAACUCUGCUGUACUAGCAGAACAGCAGCAUUAGAUAGGACCCUGUAUCUUGAACUAGCCAUGAUGCUUCUAACCUCCAAGAUGGGAGCAAAAACAUAUGGUGCCCUUUUUCCUCCAUUGUUGGUUGCCAUACAUCCUCUUUUUCCAGGGCAUGUCCUCUUUUUCAUGGGUAGAGUAGUCAUAGUGAUCCAUACUUAAAAGUAGAAGUCGGUAAAUGUGUCACCUUUUUUGCUUUUCAUAAUAUGGCAACUCUACGAGUCCAGAUAGAAAAUAGGGACAUGCUCCAUUCUCACGCACAUAGGAUGUACGGUAAUCCCUUUUAGGAAUCUACCGUACUUGUCAUCUGCAGUUUUCAUAAGUACUUGUCUUGGUGUGUAAAAGGUUAAAAUAAAAUUGCCUGCAACCACUGCUGCUUUUAUGGGAUUUAUGGUGUGGGUGUAUGGGUGUUUCAGUCUUCUACCAGUUCAGUUCUAUGUAAGCCAGCCUCAGGGGCAGUCCUGUUUAACACUGUAUAAUAAAGCAACUGUUCUGUUUUCCUGGAGUGCGUUGUGGUGUGUGGUUGACAGAAAGCUACACAGCUGUGUAGACAGAUGCACAAAGGGCUCACUUAAGAAUAUUACAAUUUCAAUUAUUCAUCUCCAAUCAGUGAAGAACCACAAGUUUAUGUGUCAUUAUAUUAAAAUUUAUAAUACUGUGUGUAGUUUUUAAAGUAUUUUAUUUACUGCACUUCUAUACUGCCCAGUAACCAAAGUUCUCAGGACAGCUUACAAUAAAGGUUCUGGUUCCUACCUAUUAGUGGCAGAGUAAAUAAAGGCAGCUUGCAGCCAGAUGCAAAGCAUGUUUGCUCAGAUGUGAGACCACAUUUUGUUCUUUAGUUCCGUUUCCAAUCUGGCUCACUGGGGGGGGGGGGAAUCUUCUCUAAACCAAUUUUUACUUUCCAGUUCCUUGCAUAUGCUCUUCGUGUGUUCAGUGAGCAUGCCUCUGGGGGCAGUUUGACAGCAGGUUACACCCACAACCUAGGUGUUUUCAAGGGACCUCUUUCCAGAUGUUCAAAUAAACCUGCAUAGAUUGGGAGCGAAGCCUGCCACUUUGCUAAUACACCCCCACAAGUACAUUCACGGAAUGCACAAGGAAUAUUUGUAAGCAGAUCAAAUGGCAUUUUUGCACUUGAUUUGAAAGGUGAGGAAGCAGAGGUCUGUAAAAAAAAUUCCCUCAGCAUUUGGUAUGAUGAUUCAGAAAGACAGCUUAUGAACUGGUUUUAGGCAUGCCAUGGUAAACUUUCAUUUGAUAGUUAUUUGUAGUCAUCCAGCAGUACGAUUUCUGAGUCAACCCUUUCUAUUUCAGCAGAUGUUUCCUGGAACUUUUCAAAUGGGCUACAACACCUGUGUUCAGAACCCAAUAUUAUCUGGGAUCAUCUUAAGUCACCCAUCAGGAAGCCCUUAUGGUACAGUGUUAUAAUGCCACACCAGACCUAUCAUUUACCUUGACAAAAAUAGAAAGUCAGAACUCUACAGGUUUGAUCAUCACAAGUCCUGUUGUUACCUCAAAAUCAUGCAAAGCCAAGCUUCAAUUGUCAACAGGUCAAACUAGUUGUUAUAUUAACAGCAUUAAUUAACAUGCAUUAACAAAUGGAGAAUCCCAUCUGAUGGGACCAAUUAGCAAUGCAGCCCAAGGAGGGGGAGAGGAAGAGUUAAAUCAUUUCCUCCACACAUCCAAAUUAAAUCCCCUCCCUGAAGCUGCUAUUUGCAUAGGAAGGGAGGUUUCAGUUGGCACCACUGAUGUAUUUGGUGGACAUAAUUUAUAUUUCAGACAUGACCUUUAAGAUACUUAUAUAUAAAUUAUUUUUUUAAACAGGGGAAGGCAUACUUCUAAAUUUUCAGCAUUUCUUGCUGUGACUUUUUGGACAAUCUAUUUUAAAAAGAGCAUCAUUGUCUGGUAAACAAUCUGUUGAUCACAGCUGGUUCUUUAACUGCAAAAUACAUAAGAAAAUUAAUGGAUGAAUAAUGAAGUGCCUUGCAAUCUUUGGUGAUGAUGGAAAUUAUUCAUUAUAAAAUAAUCUUGGAAAUUAGACUGUCCAAUUUUAUGGAAAGCUUGAGAUCCUUUUUGAUGUACCACAAUAGAAUUGAAACACACAAAGUGAGUAUGCAAGAAAUAAAUACUGUGUAUAAUAGUUUUUCAAUCAUAACUCUUUUUGGCAGUGAGAUAUUAACUAUAUUUUAAAAACAAAUAUCAUAAUAUAAAUCUCAACCACCUCAAAAGAAAACUGGCGCUACUGCAAACAUUUGUCAAAUUAUUCAAAAUUGUGAAUCAACAAUCUUAAAAAUACACAGCCAACAGCAAUAUUUAGCUGAUAUGUCUUAACCAUUAGCAAAGGUAGAAAAAUUAGAGAUCGACAACUCUCUGUGAAAUUAUUUCAUGUGAACAGUAGAAGCACUACAAAGCGCCUAAUUCCAUAGUCAAACUGGAAAACUCAUUUUCUUGAAUGACAAAUGAUAUCUUUCUUUAACUCACAUACUGAAGUAGUAAUUUACAAAUGUGGGUAAUAAUCUUUUUUUUUUAAUGGGGAAAACUGAGAUACACAGAAGUUAAUUGCCUUGCCCAAGGUCAUUCAACAAAUCAAUAAAAGAAUAAGGCAUGAAGCCAAAAUGCUAAAGAUCUUCUUUAUAAAUUAUCAUCUGAAUACCAUUAUAGACAACCCUUCCUGACCCCUCCCUAUCUGUGGGUUACAUACCAAGCUAGAAAGAAGCCACCUAAUUUCUUUCUGCUUACAUUUCAGAUCCAAGUUCGAACCAUAAACCACCUCCAGUACAAGUUUUUCUUAUCUACUUUAGAAUGUUUUAAAGCGAUUUCUUUGGAUUUGUUUGAUAGUGUGGGAGGAACAAGGGGUAAAAGUUCAAGGCUGGCCUUUAUUUCAUCUAGAUCUGUUUGCUCACUGUUAAAUUUGAGACCUCAGGUACAGAGAUAUUCAAAACUUUUAAAAUGCAGCUAAUGAGUUGCUGUGCCCUAGUAACCACGGCAACAGGCUGAGAAACCUCACUGCUGUUAUCUGUGGGCAAACCCUGCAGGAGAGUAUUUGCAUUCAUUCUGGUUGUAUCUCUACAAUGCUGGUAACUGAAAGGAAACUUAAUUAGGGUAUACAAUCAAGAUUACUGAAUACAGGUUACUUUCCUCCUUUAUGCAUAUCAACUAUCUUUUUAUUUCUACAAUGAGGCUGGCUGGAGAUAGGGUUUUCCCCUUGCUUGCUAAAAGAAAAGGAAUCACUCUUGAAAAUAGGCUUUCUAGAUUGAUUAUGUAUUUCCUUACAUUAACUUUUUAAAUUUAAUUUAUCAUGGGUCAUUCAUUAAGGCACAGUUGCUCUCCCCUGUUAUGAUAAGUUAUUUUAACUUCUUGUUUUGUUAUCACCUUUGUUUUGGCAAUAAUACAUUGACAAAUGCUGUAAAAUAGUAAUUUCCAAAGACUUAAAAUAGAUAAUAUAACAGUUCAGUGGCUUUUACUCACAGGUAAGUGUGCUUAGGAUUGCUGUUUUAAAUCAUUUCUAUCACAAACUUUUGCAAGUUUACAGAAAAAAAUAAUAAAAUCAGUGUCUAAAAACAUUCAGUCAAUAUAAACAGCAAACAUAAAAUAAGCUUGAAUUCAAGCAGCUGGCAAAUCCGUUCCACUUCCCAAUGGGGAGGAGUUGCGGUGGACCGUGUGGUCACCACCUCCCCACCGGGGGCGGGGGACUUUGUCCCCCGUUGCCUGGGGGAUCCCAGCCAUGUCAGAGCCUGGCCAGCCAAUCCGCUGGCUAGGGGGGGGCAGGGCCGGGACCGUUUAAACUGAGGAGCGAGCCAGAAGACUUCCUCUUUGGCUCGCUUCCUCAAUUAUUGUUGGUUGUCGGUGCUGCUCAGGCAUUGGCUUUGUUCGUGUUUUUUGCUUUAUUCUGAGUUUUGGCCUUAUUCUGGUGUAUUGGAUUCGAUUUGAGACAGAUAUUGACAAUCUGGAACAUGCGCAGAGGAGGGCGACAAAGAUUAAGGGUCUGGAACCAAGCUGGGUAUGUUUAGCCUAGUAAAGAGGAGACAGAGGAAAUAUUGAAAGGACUGUCACAUGGAAGAUGGAACCAGUUUGUUUCUUCCUGUUCCAGAGGCUAGGACCCAAACCAAUGGAUUCAAGUGACAAGAAAGGAGAUUCCAACUAAACACUAGGACAAACUUUCUGACAGUAAGAACUGUUCAACAGGAACAGACUACUCCCUCAGAUUGACAUAACUUGCUUGGAGUUUUUUUCAGCAGAGUUUAGAUGACCACCUGUAACGUAUGAUUUAGUGGAGAUUCCUAUAUUGCAGGGUGAUAGAAUAGAUGACCCUCAGCAUCCCUUCCAACUGUAUGAUUCUAGGAGGCAGUACAGGUGCACAAUAGUGUUAGUCCUGGAUUUUCUGCAGCCAAGAAAGGACUGAGGGACAGGAAUGCAAAAGAACAUCAGCAGAUAACAUACGUCUCUUAAUUGCUCAAACUUGUGAGCUAGCUUGACCAGAGAUUAUGGAGAUCAAGGGAUGUCAUCUGAUGAUCUGACCUAUUCUGGGCUUUUAAUUCAGGGAGGAUUUUUAAUUCAUGAAGCUUGUUGUCUUCUGCUCUCCAGUUUCCAAGUUGAGUGGUCAUGUAAAGAUUAAAUACUUGCAUUGUAAUUGGGUGCCAAGAUCUAAAAGGCUGCAAAGUAUCAAAUGAGAUGGGAGGAGAUAUUGGCAUCCAAUUCUCACUGCUUUUAUGUAUCAUUACUGUUGUAUACAGUCAUUCAUUGGGUUGUUGACCACUUUGUGGCUGGAAAUAUAUCAAGUGUGUACUUACAAACAUGUUGGAGGACCCUAGAAUGGAUGGAUGGAUGGAUGGAUAGAUGGCAUUUAGCUGCACACACGAAUGGCCUUUUAAACAGCAACAAACCAUGCAUUCCUUCAUAGCAGCAGCGAAACUUCCCUUAGUGGUGAUUGAUACACUUCCUGGAUUCUCGUAAAAGGUAAAGGUAAAGGGACCCCUGACCAUUAGGUCCAGUCAUGACCGACUCUGGGGUACGGCGCUCAUCUUGCUUUAUUGGCCGAGGGAGCCGGCGUACAGCUUCCGGGUCAUGUGGCCAGCAUGACUAAGCUGCUUCUGGUGAACCAGAGCAGCACAUGGAAACGCCGGCGUACCUUUCCGGCUGAGCGGUACCUAUUUAUCUACUUGCACUUUGACGUGCUUUCGAACUGCUAGGUUGGCAGUAGCAGGGACCGAGCAACGGGAGCUCACCCCGUCGCGGGGAUUCGAACAGCCGACCUUCUGAUUGGCAAGCCCUAGGCUCUGUGGUUUAACCCACAGCGCCACCUGCGUCCCUUCCUGGAUUCUAUUUCAUACUAAAAUCAAUGAGCAGAAAAUGACACACUAGUUCUAGGCCCAUUUUACAUUAAAAGCAUUACAGAAGAAGAAUCCCAGGUCCCACAUGAAUAACUCCAAAAUGAGGAGCAUAGAAAGAAGAAACAGCAUGGUACACCCAUAUCAGCACAACCAGAUGCCUUCCACGUGUUCCACCCGUAACAAAACAUGUCUCUCAUGUGUUGGUCUCUAGAGCCACAGCAGGUGCUAUAACUCUCCAAUGGUUUGACUUUACCACGAAUGCGCACUCUUCUGUUGUUUCCCAAGACAGACAGAUGCCAACCAACCAACCAACCAGUUUUUUUCCUUCUUAGCUAGAUUUGUAUUUAAGAGUGAUUGUUGCUAGCUGUGCAAAUCUGGCACCAACUCUUUCCAGACUGACAUGAAUCAUGCUGACAAAAAUGUUGUGCCAGUACUUAAUUGGCAAUACUGAUGAGCCCCUUAGCUGCAAUCAAGUUAGUUCCUUUUGCCAACCACUGCACUGUUGCCAAUCUCUGUCCUUCUGUUCCAUCUUCUUUAGGCUCUGAAGAAAGGAAAGACAUCUUACUUACAUAAUGGCAAUUAUUUAACAGGUCUGGCAUGAAGUUGCACACCUGCCCCUCCACCUUGCAGAUAACGUAAUGUAGAGCAGCAUGCUUCUCAUUCAGCAUGCAAAGGCUAUGGCAGCACCUGCUCAAGACAUUUGAGCACCUGAGGCAAACCGCAAAAUGGUUCUGUUGUAGCCCAGAUAAUGGUAGAAGACCAGCUGGCUACUGUGGAGGUAGCAUCUGGGGUGGGGACUACUGAAGGCAUGGCAGAUCCGGCCUCCAAGGAGUGUGCUACAGUUACUAUUGGCGCUACAGCGGCUGCAAUGGGUGAUGUGUUCCUUGAAGGCUAGAUCUGCCAUCCCUACGGAUCCUGCUGCCUGAGGCAGUCACCUCCCCUUGCCUCAUGCAUGGGUUGGCCCUGCCUCUAGGUUGCCUAUAAACUGGCCUUCAAACUUAAAUUUAUUCCAUGGUCAGUUACCUAAGCAUUGGCCUUGUCUCAAGGUCAUAGGAAAAGCAAAGGCUUAGGGCACAUACCACAGCUUUAGAGAUGGGAGCUAUUCCUGUUCCCAUGCAAGGAAGGAGGGAGGUCUCAGGCCAUCCAAUAUGCUUGAUACUCACACAGAAAACAAUUGGUGUUGCUAAAGCUCUAAAAAUUGGAUUAUAUUACAAUUUGAGCUUAUGGAACAGCAGCACCUGCAAUACUGAUAACAGGAGACAUUACAGUUAAAGCUGUCUAGAGGGAAACAAAAUACAGCAAACCUUUAACUGUGCUGUAGGGAUGCUAUAUUUUCUGGCUCAGUACUUUAAUAUCUAAUCAAUAAACCAUUUGCUAGUUAUACAUGUCAAAUGUUUCUGGAACUCAAGCUAUUAUGACUUGUUUAUCUGUUGUCUGGCUAUACCUUUUCCUUUCAUCAGCUAUUUCAGGAUGUACUAUUUUUAACAGUGCAGUCGCUAUGAGUGAAUCAACCUCUUUUAUUAUCUACCAGUAGGAUUUGGGAGAGAUUUUCUAUAUUCUUCACAAAAACUAUUCUUGGAAGUGAGGAGUACUUGGGAGAGAUCCAACUGCGGGUCUUUACUUUUUUCUGAUUGGUGUAAUGUUGGUUUUACAUUCUAUUACAAAUUUCUCCUUAAAAGUUGAGAAAUACUGUUUUGCCCCCAAAGGCACAGCUACAGCGCUUGACUAUCUGUUUUGGGAGUGAACCUAACCUUUAAAGUUUUAACUCUAGGCUCAAUUUUAUUUUCCAGCACCAAAAGGAGCACCUAAAAUUGUGAGGGGGGGUUCAAUGUGAAUGACAAGAAUAGUUUCUGUGAGGAAUAGAGAACACUCCAUUAAAUAUUCUUUCAUUUUCUUCCCUGAAGUUAAUUUUUAAACAUUUAAGAUUGUAGUAUUUUAAGACUAAUUAUAAAAAUUAUGACAACACUAAAUUUACCAGUUGCUAUGAGACACAGAUAUGUCUAAUCCACCCCAAGGUCUUCUUAUACUAGGCUCUAAAUGUUUGCUCAGAAAAACAAAUUUUUUUGAACAAUGGUUAUGCAAGCAAUUCUUGGCCCCCAAUGAAGCUUAGAAAAGCUAUAAAAACAAACACUUUUUAAAUUAUAUGUGAUUACUCUUUAUGUUUGUAAAUACUUGGAUUGUGGGGGCACUGAUAAGUUCUAAAAGGGCAAUUUAAUUUUUGUAAGCUUCGCCAAAACAGCUGCUGUUUUUACUUGUUUGCCGACUUCAUAUUUCUGAAGCACACGGAAAACAAAUUCUGUUCUUAAUAAUGAGCCAAUUCCAAUUGCUGUAUUGCCUUGGGAUAGCAUUGCAAUACCUGUGUGUACUUGGUGCACAAUUUUGUUUUUAUAACACCCUGGGGUAAUAUAUAUUUUAUGAUAACCACAGCCUCAUGCAUUAUUACCAUGCAAGUUAAUAUUGUUACAUCAUUGCAGCUUUAUCUUCUAAUCUGAAUGCAGCUGGGAUAAUGUUAUUAAAAUACUUUUGCUAAACAUUCUUGUCACUGACAGUAAGCUCAUGUGAUUUUAAAUAGAUUUAUAGUCUUCAUGGUAACCUAACUCAUUGCUCAAGACAAUGAAUCCAGAACAUACACCCAUACGGUUCUAGUUUUAGGUUUGCAGGUGCCCUUGGGUAAGAUACCCUCAGUGGGUCUACAUCUUUGCCACAGCCACGAGUGUCCGGUUUGCUUGCCCUCCCCCUCUGAGUCCAGUUUACACUGCUGUCAAGAGGGAAAGUGCUAAGCACUUUCUCCUUUCUUCUCUGAGCCAGCUCGCUACCUGAGACCAUGGACAAAAUAAUACCCCUACUGGUCCAGACACAAACUGACUGGACUUGUAAGUUGCAUCUCACUUCAGUGCUGGAUAGAGGACAGUAUCAUUCACCACUCCUGCAGCCAUCUUAGGAGGUGCAAAGCAGGUCAUGUAGCAUACACUGCUGUCUUCCAGUAGGGUGAAUAGCUGGGGAGAUUCAGGAGGAACAGCUAGUAUGGUUGCUUUGGCUGCCUGAUGCAGCUGCCUCACUCCACCCAGUAGGGCCUGCCCAGCAUCUCCUCCCUCUUGUUGCUGUUCACAUAUUCAACAAUGGCAGUGAAUAGACAGUGACAGCAAGCAGUAACAAGGAUGGGGUUGCAGGGGCCGGCACUCAGAACCACCCUCUGCCUUGUACUCAGUUACCUGUUUGUGACUAGCUAGGCUUCAUGGCAGCCAUUUUGUGAUUAGCCAUGCUCUCCCAAUGGCAGCCAUUUUGUGGUGAUGCCCACCAGUUUCUCAAAUUUCUACAUGCGCUCAGCAAUAUGGAGUGCUUAACAACAGAAUAUGGCAGAAUAAGAUUAACCAGAAAAUGUCUUGGCAUCUUGUCUGUCUUCUAUUUCCACUUCUCAUUAAAGUUUCAAAACUAGUUUUGCUGCCAAAAGUAACGUCCCAAUUAAAUAUUCAGAAGCAGAUAGGUGAUAUAUCACAACACUAAAACAAAUAAUCCUUAUGGGGAAAUGUGGCGUGCAUUCCCAGAAGCUUAAACAGAAUAAAAAGUUCAUGAAGAUUAAUCAUCUUUCACUUUCUUGCGCUUCCUUUUAAUUGCGUGAAUCUACAGCAAAGGACCAAUAUGAUCAAUUUGUAGACAUUUUUUCAGCAAACCAGAGACAGGCUUAGAUUGUAGUCUGUGGCUAUCAGCCUUAAGUACAACACCGCUCUUGGGAGUUGUUUUCUAGCUGAAUUAACUUUGUACAAUGCUGAUGAAAGACAGAUACUAAAAAUUAAAUCUUGAUAAAUGUGCUUCUUUUUUAAAAAGCAAAAAAAUGUACUACACAUUUUGUUUAUCAGCAUACAAUAUAAAGGAAACCACGUUGCUGAGUAGUUGCUUUCCCUUUACCUCUAAUAAUGUGAUACUGAAGGCAUGGAACAAACCAAAACACAGAUGGGACCAAAUGUUGAGUUGUAGGACGCUACUUUUCUCAUACUGGAAGUAUCCACAGUUCAAGGACUGCAGGAAAUUUGCAGUAACAGUCAGAAGCAUACAUAUGGGUCAGCCAUUAAGUGCUACUUAAUGAGGGGUUCAGCAAGGAUAAUGUCCACUCCUGCUUCAAUCUCCCUGAGUUGGAAAGCAAACAAUCAGGGAGCUUCCUAUUCUCACAGGUUUGCCCUCCAACUGGGCCUGGCCCACCAAUAAAGCAAGUGGAGGCGACCACCUCAUCUUGCUGCUAGUUAUGGAACCUCUUGGGACAGUCUUAUUUGCUUUGUUAUGAAAUUCCCUUCAUAUUAAGACACUUAUCAUUUCUCAUUGUCUAUAAUGGAUUAGGAUGUAAUUUGCAAAUGGAUCUCUUGUUUUAAAGUUACGCUUGCAAUAAAAUAACCAGAGCCAAUUUCAGAAAUAUCUUUUGUGUAAUUGUGAAAUAAUGAAAAGACACCCUUGGGAAUCUGCUUCAACAUCGAAAUGGCUUAAAACAUUUUGGAAGAUUGCGAUGGAAUAUAUUGUUGAAUUGAAACAAUAUAAAUGUGAAAGAGACAAAAACUCUUCAGUUCAAAUUGAUGAGUUCAUUAGAAAUUAAUGGUAGCAAAACAAGGGGGAAAUGACAGCUUGUUUCUGGGUCUGGCUUGUGAAACACACAGGUAUGUAAUUGCUUUGAAAACAAUUAAGACAAAAAUGUGAAGCUGGUAUAUAAGCCUAUUGUAUAAAGUAUACAGAAUAUAUAUCCUUUGAAUAUCUCAAAUGACACUCCAUCCCUAUGAUCCACUUGAGUGUUAAGAUCAGGAGAGGAAAGUCUCUCAGUAGUUCCACCACCCUCAGAAGUGUGGGGAAUGGUGACCCAAAGAGGGCUUUCUCUGUGGCAGUCCUUGUGUUGUAAAAUUCAGUCCCCACAGAGGUGCAUCUAGCACUGUCAUUAUUCAACUUCCGCUGCUUGCUGGAAACACACUUCUUUAUCCUAGUCUUAGGUAUUUUGGUUGGAUCCACCUCUUCUGUUUUGUUUAUCUUAUACUGUGCUGGUUUUCUUAGAACUGUUUUACUUUUUUAUAAUUGUAUAAACUGUUUUAUCUGUUUUUCUUGCUUUUAAUUGUAUUGGUGUGACCUGGGCUUGGCUGUUGUGGUGAAGGACAAGUAAGAAAACUUACAAAUAAAACAAUAUCUGCAGGAUUAUGCAUUUUGUAGUAGACUGGUUUCCCCACUGCCCCGAACGCUUCUGAAUCUCUGGAAGUUAAAUCUUAGAAGAUAAUUUAGCAUUUUCAGAAACAUGUUUACCAACAGCGGUAACCUCCACUCAUUUUUGUGUUCCAGUUCUACACGGAUCUUUAGUUUCACCACAUAAUCUCUGUUGAGACAUUUCAUACCCUGAAAUACCCUGUUCUGGCCAGCACUCUGCGAAGAUGUGCUCCACCAGGGGAACAGAAAAUCUGGAAGCUGAAUAAGUUUCAGAAACAUUUUAAGACUUGCAGGCCUGAAGCCACAUUAUGGUUGUGGGGUUCUUGCCUUCUUAGAUAUUCUUGACCCCUUUACUGUUUGUUUGUUUUUAAGCAUGUCUAUGGCUCUUUUUUCUUUCAGACCUUGAAGGAAAAGCUCACAGGCAGUAUUGUGUCUGCUUGCCCAGUAAGAAGCAACCAUGCUCCUGUCUUCCUGCUAGAUGGUCAAAUCCAUCAAUUUUUGUUUCUCUCAGUUUCCCAUUUUAAGUCUUUAAUUCAAUUCUCCACAUCUCCAUGAGGGUCUGGGAUUUAUUUUUUUAAGGCCUCGCAGAAAUUCAUCAGCAAUUUAGUGUGAAUUUCUCUUAAUAUGCACAUCUAUAAUUCGAUGGGUUCAUGAUUUAUACAGUGGUACCUCGGGUUACAUACGCUUCAGGUUACAGACUCUGCUAACCCAGAAAUAUUGCCUCGGGUUAAGAACUUUGCUUUAGGAUGAGAACAGAAAUCGUGCUCCGGUGGCGCAGCGGCAGCAGGAGGCCCCAUUAGCUAAAGUGGUGCUUCAGGUUAAGAACAGUUUCAGGUUAAGAACGGACCUCCAGAACAAAUUAAGUUCUUAACCCGAGGUACCACUGUAUAUGCAAUUUUGCCUAAUACACACAUUUUUCUGGGCAAUUUUUCACUUAUAAUGCAUUUUUAUGCACACUUUAUGCAUUUUUGUACACAACUGGAGAGCUGCAUUGCAAAAUUUGGAAAAGUGCAAAGUUGAAAGAUGGCUGUGUUUUGGUUCACAUUGUUUCAGAAAGUAUGAAUCUGGUAAAUUUUCCUUUAAAUGUGAAUGGAAUCAAAAUUCUCUCCCAUCCCCACUUCCUGUAUUCUGGGAAGUAAAUAAAAAAGCCAUAAUAAAAAUCCAUGUUUUAUGGCUAUGUAAUACAACUGUAUGAUUUCAAACCUUUUUGGCUCCCUGUUGCUGUAUUGGUUGUAUUUCUCCUACUGAUGGCUUCCUAAGCACAAAAUUCCUUGCUACAGUGGUGCGUAUAUGGAUUGGCUUUUACAGAUUGAAGAUAUGAACCUGCUUGGAGUAAGGGCCAAACUACAUGUUGUUUGUUUGUUUGCUUGCUUGCUUGCUUGCUUGUUUGGUAAAGAUAACUACAUGUUAUGUUAACUGCAUAAUCUAGUGUUUUGUGAUUUGAAUAUGUGGUGUGUAUGUGUCCCCCACCCUCCCCUGAUAAGCAGGAGAUCUGGGAUUUGUACAAUAGUAAGAGAGAAAUGAAAUACAAUAUAAUGUGCAUUUGCUGGAAAUGCAUUGAUGGAUGAGAAUCAUCACAGGCACUGGGAAAGUAUAUGUACCAAGGAAAGUACUUUGUCUUAAUUUACAUGGAACUAUGGUGAAGAAUAGCGGAACUAAAUUAAGAAAGAAAACAUUUGCCCAUAAUAGUUCAAUUAAGUAUCAGGAGCGCAUGACUUUACUAUAUCCUGUUCAACUGGACAUUCUCCAGGAAGAAAUGCUGCCUAAAACAAUUUGAAUCAAUGACAUAAUGAGCAGGUUGAUAUAAUAUGCUGUUCUCAUCUCUGUUUUUUUCAGAUUCUAUUAAACAUCCCCUGAGUGCUAUACUUAUUAUAGCACGCUAUGGUAAUAGAGAGUUUUUCAGGAGCCUUUCAUUGUCAUACAAAGAUUAUUGCAAAGAGAGAUUGCCAGAAAAAUGGGACCACUGUUUAACUCCAUAGCCCAUAAUUAUCUGCAAUCAUUUUGCAUGCAGCCUUUUAUACUAACAUGGAGAGUUGUAAAACUGACAAGCUGAUUUUUAUAGCAGGAAUUGAUGUGUGUGUCUGAUGGCACUGAGUGAUAGAAGUGCCUGCUGACAUCUGAGAUAGGGGCUUUGCAUUCAAAAGCAACUGCAAUUUAAGCCCUUUCUUAUGAGCACUGGACAAACAUCAAAUAUAACUGACGCCAGUCAUCUGAUCAAUGACAUCUCUGAAUGAAGGUUUUUCCUUACAAUUCAUUUCUGUACUAUAAAUGCAUAUUUCGUUACUCAUUUGUUUCAUGGAGCCUAUAUAUAGCAGCUGUGCUUCCAUUGCAUUUCAGAUGAAUCCAUUUUCCAUUGUAUGGCUAUUGUUGCAUCCCACCCCAGUCUUCGAGCAGUGUGAGAUUCUGGGGGUUCCAAGUACUCAUGUUUCCUUUUGGAAAUGAGGCAAAGUGGAGACCGUGGUGUAUUUAGGCUAUAUGGUUUAUUUGCACAUACAUACAACCUGAGCCUAUGAUGGAGGAGUUCACAGGAUUAGCACCCCAAGAGAGUCUUGUUUCUCCCAUAAUCACAGCCUUGGAUUCAAAGAGAAAUCAACCAUCAUGCAGCUCUCUCUCUCUCUCUCUCUCUCUCUCUCUCUCUCUCUCUCUCUGCAACCCUCUCUCCAGCUUGCUGCCUUUACCAGCUUGUGACCAUUUUCCCUCUCAGUCACAUCACAGCCAACCCUCAACUCUAGCAUUGUUUUCUAAUUAACUCUGAGUGGAGGGAGGUGGCUGUCUGGCCCAUUUGCUGUCUGGCCCAGAACCUUGCUUUCUCAAUGGCUAUCUCCCAAGUGAUCUCCUGAACAUGGGGAACUGGGUCCAGGGAUUAGGAGUCUGGUGUUCACUUUAAUCCCCCAAGCCUUGAUUAAACUAUAACACCUACUGGACCCAGGAAGAUUCUGGCACCCACAAACUCAUAACACUAUCAAUGGGUCACAUUUUGUAGUUGUGGUUAAAUGAAAUAUAUAGUACCCCAUAUUUCAUAAAAACAAAACCCAUUACUGUAGCCCUUGCUAGAUGUAGUGUCAUUGCACAAUUGUUAUAAGCUACUAUGCUUCUUGGGGCAUAAGUUGUGAUAAGCAAUCCCAUACCUUUACCAUUUUGUGAAAAAGAGGAACAGAAGUUGAACCUACUUGUAACUGAAGUGAAAUCUCAAAAUAGGCAACUGUUCCUGCAAGCUGUUUGGCCAACGGGCUGGGAUAGUUCUGGCAACUCAGGUUGAUGUAUCUAUUUAUUUGCAUUUUAAACUAGCCUUUCCAAUAUUUAACUACAAUGGUUCACUUUAUCUUUCUCUAAGGUGAGAGGCCACAAAAUUCCAACAAUGCCCCAGAGACAAAAGCAACAUAUAUUUUACAUGUCCCAGAAAGAAUCCUUGUAACAGCUUGGGGAAAGAAUUAGGACCCAAAUUAACAUCUAGUCCCCGUCUAGGAUGUGAGUCCCAGAGAACACAACAACCAUUCUCACUUGUAGCAAAAUAUUAAUAAUCUGGCUGUGGAGAGCAUUACUGUCAGGUCAUUGUCAUGGUCAUAUCAUUAUCUUGCCUGGAUUUGGGAUGUUGGAGAAUUUCAAAAGGCAGGUUUGGGCUUAAAAAAAAAAAUUCUUUUAAUUUACAGACUUAAUUUACUAGAGUAUCUGGGGUAUGCAGAAGCUGCUACCUUAUUUUAUGGGUGGGCCCAUUUUGCUUCAAAACUUAAACAUACUCAAGCACCUAACUUUGCUCUUGGACAAAAAUUAUUAAUGUGUGCAAAAGAUCCUAAAAUUGGGCUUGAACCAGCCUUAAGCAAAACAAAGUGUGUGUUGUCCACCAACUUCCUUUUUUUUAAAGUAAUCAAAACAGUCUAAUGUAUACAUUUGUAACACGGUAAGAUUUUGUGCACUAUAUCUUUGUUUUUGGUUUUUGUUUUGUUUUGAUUUUUAAACAUUGCUUUACGUAUAGAAGAAGCAUACACAGGAAAUGCAAACUACAAAUAGCAAUUUGUUCAAAAGAAACCCACAGGAAGUUUUGCAAGCCGUUCAACAUCAGGCUGUCUUUUGCCAUGCGAGACAAAAGCUGCUCAGUAACCACUGAUGCAUUGAUAAUUAAGGCUUCUUCAGCAUGACAUAUGAAACAAUGGCUUUGUUUCUAUCUGGAAAUCAAAUGGGCAUGAAGUUGCCCUUUACAUGUGUGGCACUGAUCCAGGAUUGAGGCAGAGGGGCUUCAUAUUCCUACUAGUAGCCCAGGCGAUGCAGAGGGUGGGCAAGCCAUACAAUCCCUCAGCUGUAGCCAGUAAGGGUUGGCUGAGAUCAUGCAACCUAUCUACCCGCCUUCUAAAGUGGCCAGGAUGGUCCUCUACUGUCAGAGGAUAGCCUUCUAGAGGAAGGAGUCCUACCUUUGAAAAACUGUCCAGUUCAAGUCCAGUUUAAAGAUAAAUAACUCUAAGAAGGGAGAGCAGGGAGCUUGAAAUUGCCUGUCAACCAUAUGCACCUGGACAACAGACUGAGCACAUGGGUCACCUGCUGACAGUCUUCCCCACCAGGUUUGGAUGUUUAGGGAAGUUUUUAAUGUUUGAUGUUUUAUUGCAUUUUUAAUUUUCUGUUUGGAGCUGCCCAGAGUGGCUGGGGCAACCCAAUCAGAUGGGUGGGUUACAAAUCAUCAUCAUCAUCAUCAUCAUCAUGAUCAUCGUUAAAAUUACAGCAAUUAUUUCUCUACCUAUCAACUAGCACUUGCAAAGUUAGUGCAAAGCUGUGCCCUCUUUUGUUUUCUUUUUUGGUAACUCAUUUGUGGCUACCUACCCUGCCCUCUUCAUUGUCCCACAGCCACCCAGAAAGCAGACAUUGCUUUCAGUACAUCUUUUCCAAAUAUGACUUUAGUUGGAUAUAACUUAAAAAUAUUUUUUUAAAAAAUAUCACUUCAAACUUGAAAAAGGAAAAUUACAUAUAAUUGGGCUGUCAGACACCAACAUAUCAUAUAUAUCUUGUGCUAUGCAGUCUGGGCCCCUGUUAUAUCAAAUGGGCUUGUUUAUUUCAAAUUACUUGGUCAUGUAUUAUAUGUCUGCUUUGAGGGCAUCAAUAUUUAUCAUUAAAUUCACCCUGUACCACACAUUUACUUCUCUCUCUCUCUCUCUCUCUCUCUCUCACACACACACACACACAGCCCAUAUGUAUCUUAUUUAGAAGCAACAUCUUCACCAUCUACUUCAUUCAUCUGUUGAACUAAGUUCUUGCUGCAAUAAAUAAGGUUAUAGAAAGGUGGCAUGGGAGAUUUUUAUCCUCCUCAGUGUCACCAGAUGGCGCUGCAGAGUAGUUUUGCUUAGGACUAGUAAACAUAUAACCUACCUUUACCUUUAUUUACCUGUCCCUGAUUAAAAUUCUGACUUCUUCCUCCCCACUCUCAUUUACAAUUUUAUUAGCAAUUAGUAAAGAAAGUGCUUUAUUCUCAGAAACAGAUCUUACGCACAUGUUUUGGAUGUGAAAGCUCCUUCACACAGUACAAUGAAAGUACUGUAUUUAAGCAUAUCUUUUGUUACAUGCGAAGGAGCCAUCAGUGUGGCUUCAGGUUUUAAGAACCACAAUAAUUUAGGAACUUCCACUUUGAGGGAUUAAUAUUAAUGGGUCAUAUAUGAUGAACUAUGGGCCGUUGAUGAAAGUAUUACUAGGCCAUUGCUGAAAUAAGGCUAGGAAAGUUUUGUUGCAAGAACCUACAACUAGUGAAGGAAUGACCAGAUAUUUAUUUGAUAUAAGUGCAGGUAAAAAAAGGUAAAGGACCCCUGGACAAUUAAGUCCAGUCAAAGGAGACUAUGGGGUUGCGGCGCUCAUCUCGCUUUUAAGUGCAUUACAUAUUUGGGAUCAUACUAGUCAUGUUAAAGUCCAUGUCAGUUUCUCAACACCACAGCCAUCGUCUGUUAAUGGAGGAAUGUUACAGUCAUUGCACAUGCUGUGGCAUUGGAAGUUGAAGGGCUCCUAAGCUAGGAUCUGGAAGCAGCUCUGACACAAGGGUAAAUGAAAUAUACUCAGAGUCGCAAAGUGAUUUCAUGCUCUUUAUUCAGCUCAUAGUGGUGAGGAGGAAUGAAUGAAAGUCCCCUCAAAGUAUCUACUUUAUAUACAUUAUUUACACAAUGGGCUGCACAUGAUUGGCUAAUUCUGGAAUUCUACUGUAAGCCAAUCAGGUUGUGGAUUCACUUAUAUCUGGAGCAUGAUUGGGUGGUUCCUGCCAACCAAUCAUACUGCUGCAUUGUUCUAGGACCAAUCAGACUGCUGCAUUCUGAAUCCUAUUGUUCUAGGACCAAUCAGACUGCUGCAAUUUGGAUCCUAUUGUUCUAGGACCAAUCAGACUGCUGCAGUUUGGAUCCUAUUCAACUCAGUACAUAACAGUAAAUAUAUCCUAAUGCACUUUACACUGAUAAGUAGUUUUGUGGCAUCAUAAAAUAGAGAUGGAGAAAAGACAUCCUGACAUUUAGACAACUAUUAAACGUGUAAGAUUACUGCACUAUUUCUUUACUAUUUUUAAUGUUAUUAGAUUGUUAUCUGCUCUUGAAAGUGGAAUGGUUGGUUAUUAUUCAAAACCAGCUGUUUCCCCCCAUUAAAUUUCUGCAGAUAUUCAUGUAUUUAGGCAAUAAAUAUGUUCUCUUUCCUUGCUGCACAGUGGGCUCUGUCUUGCAGUUGUUCUAUCCUGCUGAAUGAAGACAAAUAUAAAAUAUAUACCUAGGAUAAUAGUAUAGUUAAAAGAACAGUGCAAUACUCAAAAGAUGAUCAGCAGACAAUAAUUUAAAAAUUCAUUCAGAAAAGGCUUGGGUAAAUAAAAGCAUGCAUCUGAAGUAAUAGAUUGCUGGUGUAUGCCUUAUCUCAAGUGGUAAUGAAUUCAGCGUUAAAGGAGCCACAAGUUAAUCAUACAUCAGACUUUAAGCACAGAAGUCUUAUUGUACAGUCAGAACCAAGUCACAGUGUGAAGGGCAAAAAGGUCUUCCUUUUCGGUACACUUCCUGGUUUCGUUGCCAACUUAAACUUCCCAAGAUAGUAGCACCUAAUAUUAUAAACCAAAGUAGCUGAGACUGUGCAUUGUUGAAUGUAGUGUGGGAGAAAAGCAUACAUACAAUAAGACAAAGAGUGUCACUUUUGAAUUUUUCUGCUUAAAAAAAAUUCGGGCUAUCUAUGAUUGUGAGGAAAACUGCAAAACAUUUAUGAGCAAAUAACAUUUAUGACAUAUAUAUAAUAAUACUUGGUAUGCAGCCAAAAAAUUCUUCCAAGAGUAAGAACACUAUGAAAAGUAAUUCUGCCGGUCUUCCUAGGGCACACUUAAUUUCUAGGUACCAAAAUGCAUUACUCUGGUUUUCUGUAUGACAUACCUCCAACAAAAGAUCUGGCUGUGUACUUCAAAAUUAAAUGUGACACAAGGGUUACUGUUGCCAGCAUUUGUCUCUAUCACAGGAAAUAACCUGUAUGUUCUACACAAGGCCUCUAGAAUGCCCUGAGGACUUUAGCAACAAUCUAAUCAAAGUUUUCAAUAAAAGAAAGGGAUUUAUUGAAUGUACGUUGCUUUCUGAUCAUCAAAUGUUGUCAACACUUCGUCAUAUUUACAGUUUCUUUAUAGGCAAUAUUGUUCGGAAGAGAAAAGUAACAUGAAAUACGGCUUAUAUAAUGAAAACCCUACAUGGCAAGUAGUAACCUAGGAAUUUGUAACUGGCUCCCUGCACAAAUCAUAUAUGUUUGUCCAGAUCUGGGCAUUUAAACACAUUUUAAAUGUUCAUAGUUUACUAUGGCAAAUCUCAACUGCAGCUUGCAACAUGCUUAGUCUUUGAAGGUUUUGAAUUCAUUCUAGCUCUCACUGGCAUGGUAUGACGGCAUAUACAUAUGAAGGCAUUAAGUGCUAGUAUAGUACUUAAUUUAUGCCAUACUAUGGGAUGUUAAAAUUAUUACCAUGCUGCAUGUAUCUGUUAACUUGCUUGGUGAUUGUCUUAUUAUAAGCAGAGGGAUUUUGGUAAAAUGAGAUUUUCUAGCUAAUUAUGUAAUUAAGUUGCCUUUCGAUGUUUUGCACUUUAUUUUACUUAAGCACAUUGUUUUGAUAUAAUUAUUGUUGCUUAAUUAUGUUACUUAAAAUGUGGAAUUAGUAGUAGCUGGGGUUGCAGCAGUAUUGUUUUGUAUAAUUUGUAUUGUAUUGUAGUGUUAUAAGACGGGAGGAGCAGAGACAAAGGGCCAGAGUUUCAGGAGGGAGAGGCAGAAUUGCAGUGAGUGAGGAGGUAAGUGAACGGGGUGGUGGUGCUAGUUUUGCAAGCUGGGGGGUGGGACAGAGCAUGAGACAGGCAGUCUGCAGAGAGGGUCAGGCAUGAUGGUUGGAGUCUCUUUGACUUGGAGGCUGCAGCAAUGGAAGGAAUGUGAGAGCUCUGCACUCUCUCCAUCUAGAUGCAGGUUGUAUAUAUGUGUAAAUAAACCAUAUAUGAUAAAGACAGCACAGACUCUAUUGUGCUUUGUUGUUCCAAAAGGAAACACAGACCCUGGUAAGCAUGCCUGGUACUACUAGAAUCUCACACCACUUGGAGAUUGGGGUGGCAUGUAACAGUAUUGUUGGGGGGUAUUGGGGUAUGAAUUGUUGGUUCUCAUUUUUAUUAUGUAUUUUGUGGCUUUUGUAUUGUAAUUUUAUGUUGUGAACUGCCUUGAGAUCUGUGGAUGAAGAACAGAAUACACAUUUUUAUUAAUCAUAAUAAUAAUGAUAAUAAUAUGCAAACCACUUAGAGACUUCUGAUGAACUGUGCAGCAAUAUACAGGUGAAAUAAAUAAUGUAAUGUAUAGGACUGAAAUGCAUUGUUCAUAGAAUGUAUCCACCCAAAAUGAAUGAGUGUACCACUAUCCAACUAAGUUAUAAAGUAAACCAAUUGAAGCCAAUGGACUUAGUCAUAACUAACUUAAGUUCACUGAUUUCAGUGGGUCUCUGAGUAUAACUUAAUCAGAUACAGCUCAUUGUAAAUUAGUGCAAUACACUGGGCUGCUUAGUCCUAUACUGUUUCUGACAGGGCUCUUGUGCACUUAACAGAUGUGCAACAGGCAAAGUUAAUAGGGAGUAUGGCAGAGAGAGCAAACCUUUGCGAUUUCUGCCUGCCAUGCCCCUGUUAAAGGCUCAGGAAUCCUCUGGGGUCAGGGAGAGAAUAUUUAUACCCUAUAGAUCUUUUAAGUUUACAAAAACUGAAAGAGUGUCAUCCUAAUGAACGUAUGACAUGCAUGUUUGGGGAGUAAUAAGGGUUGAAGUAGACAAGUAAGCAUAUACGGUAUUUCACUAAUCAGCUGCAAUGUAAGCAGGUACUAAACAUAGGUCUAGUCCAAUUUUCACCUUUGCUUCCUCUGUUAAAUUGAAUGACUUUGUGAAGCAAUCCCCUGCCUCAGGGUACCACUGGCAUUGAGGAAAGCUUUAUAUUCCUUUCUAUUCCUCAGCUAGCCAAAGUUUAACAGGUUCCUGCUGAACUCCAUGACUCAUGGUUAAUAUACUUUCACCUCUGUCCCUCUGAUUUCCAAGAUCACUUGGUUAAAACUAUAGCAAGAAGGAUGAAAACAAAUGUAGCUUGAUUGCAGCUGAUUUGAAAUGGAUUCCUAGCAGCAUAUCUGUGUAACCAGGUGUAAACAACUGUGCUGGUUUUUACAUAAAUGUUUGCUACGUCAGCUAGAAAAUAUUUUGCUCUGUAAUGCCUUGUUGGAUGAGGCCAAAGGUCCAUCUAAUUCAGCCUUCAUGUCUCCAGCAUUGACUCUCCACACAUUUCAUCAUGUUGUUGUUGUUGUUUAAAAAAAAUACCCUGGUGUGAAGUCAGAAUUUCAUCAAGGAAAGCCUUUUCCUCUCCAUGUCAGGAAAAUAAUGCCUGUGUCAACUGUGAAAGGUUCAAAAGCCCCCCCCCCCCGUGUGUGUGUGUGUGUGUGUGUGUGUGUGAGAGAGAGAGAGAGUGAGAGAGAGAGAGAGAGAGAGAGAGAGAGAGAGAGAGAGAGAGAGAGAAUCAGCUUAGACAGUGAUUUUGUUAAAAGAAUAUUGACCCUGGCUGCUUGGCUACUCCAACAGGACUCAGCAUCAAGUUGCAAAAAGAGCUUGGCCCACAAAUGGCUUUGUGGGUUUGCCAGUCUUUACUGCAGGUUUAUCUGAAACUUUGCUAAUUCAGUUAUAUUUCCUUCCGCCUCCUUGGAGGAAGAAUUAUGAAGUUUGGAAGGUGGGGAAUCAGUGACUCAUAUAACCUGGACAGCUCUGCAGUUUUUAUGGCAGAGGCUUCCAUCUACAGCAAUUACAUCCAGAGUGCAGUGUGAUGAAAGAUCAUGCCACCAGACUUAUAUUUCCUUGAAAUAUUGGAGAGCCCUUGAUUAUAAGCCUCUUCAAGAAUGGGCUCUUUUCCUCUUAAGAAUGCCUUGUUAUAGAUAGACAAUACACCUAAUUAUUUGACUCUUGGAUAUGAACAAUCAUAAUGAAGUGGAACAUUUUUAGAUACAUUUUUUCAGACUGAAUAAAUAAGGUGGUUUUGUGGAAGGAAUUUUAUCCUAACCUAAAUAUAUCUAAGGGACCCGGGUGGCGCUGUGGGUAAAAGCCUCAGCGCCUAGGACUUGCCGAUCGAAAGGUUGGUGGUUCGAAUCCCCGCGGCGGGGUGCACUCCCAUUGCUCAGUCCCAGCGCCUGCCAACCUAGCAGUUCGAAAGCACCCCUGGGUGCAAGUAGAUAAAUAGGGACCGCUUACUAGCGGGAAGGUAAACGGCGAUCCGUGUGCUGCGCUGGCUCGCCAGAUGCAGCUUGUCAUGCUGGCCACGUGACCCGGAGGUGUCUGCGGACAGCGCUGGCUCCCGGCCUCUAGAGUGAGAUGAGCGCACAACCCUAGAGUCUGUCUAACUAUUUGCUCACAUUCAGCCCUUACUGCCUCUGUCACACCACAAUUCCUCUCCAUUGUGGUCUUCACUAUCAAAAUUCUGAUUGUGAUCUCCUUGUUGCAAGGACUUGUUCAUUAAAUGUAUAUACUGUAUACAGCUUGUACAGCAUAUGGGUGGUUUUCAAACCCACUAAAAGCACAAUAGCGAGCCCAUUUGCUUAUUUUAGUCAGUAAACUGCAAAGCAUGCUAAUGACAUUACAGUGGUAGCUGUACAAACUUAAUUCGUUCCGGAGGUCUGUUCUUAACCUGAAACCAUUCUUAACCUGAGGUACCACUUUAGCUAAUCGGGCCUCCUGAUGCCACCGCACCACUGCCGUGCGAUUUCUGUUCCCAUCCUGAAGUAAGGUUCUUAACCCGAGGUACUACUUCUGGGUUAGCGGAGUCUGUAACCCGAGGUGUUUGUAACCCAAGGUACCACUGUACAUUAAUAAUAAUAUUUCAGCUAUAUUUUAUACUGUGUAUUCAUGUCUGUAUUUCCUGUACACUGAUCACAGGUACAGUUGUUGACUACAACCCUAGACCUGUUAAACUAGUCAUGCUGUUUUCCAAUGAAACACUGGACAUUUCAAAUUGGGCUAUGGAACUAAUAUAUUGUUGUACAGCACCCUAAUCUUCAAGCAGUGUGAGAUUCCAGGGAUUCCAGGUGCUUUCUCAGGGUUUGUGUUUCCUCAGAAUGAGGGGCAGGGGAGACUGUGGUGUCUUUAUGAUACAGGCAUCCUCCCACUUGCACAGGGGUCCGUUCUGGGUCACCACACCUGUCAUUCCUGCCUGUUCCACCUUAGUCCCCUCGGUCCCUUUUGGUGUUGUUUUUAGUGCGCACGACACCAAUGCACACGAGUGGGGAGUUGCCUGUACAGUAUAUGGUUUAUUUACACACAUAUAAAACCCUAGCCUACAAUGGAGGAGCUCACAGCAUUAACACCCUAAGAGGAUCUUGUGUCUUCCAUAGCCACAUCCUUGGACUCAAACGGGAAUCAGGCAUGGCUGUGCCUCCCCCAGGUUUCAGCCUGCAGCCUUGCUUCUAGCUCGCACACACUGCUUGUGCCCAGAAUAAAAGCAGCCACUGAAGUCUAAGUGUUAAAUCCUAUGCAUGUUUACUCAGAAGUAAAUUCCACCAUGGGUUUACUCCGUGGUGAGUGUGUUAAGGACUAUAGCUCAAGUAAAUGAAAUUACUUGCCUCAGCCUGCGUCUAAACAUCAUAGUGUGUAACACCAAGGUAUGGUUCCUAAUGCUAAUGUUUGUAAGAAAUAACAUGCUAAGUAUAGAUCUAACAUUUCCUAACUUCUAAGGGAUGACAAAAAUAAACUGAAUCUAAAGAAUUGGCAGCUAUUAAAACAAUCUCAGGAAAAGUACACAGCUGUAACGUAUUUUGCUUUGCACCAUCUUUAUUAUUUCUUGUUGAUUCCACUCCCCUUUCAUCUUUGAUAUAAAUAUAUGGAGUUGCUUUGUUCAUGAGCUUUGUGUGCUCAGCACUUCUUUGUUUGUUCCUCAUGUCAUAAAUAAUGUGCCUUAGAAAAGCACUGAAGAAAGAUGCAGCAUGCUAGUGGCACCAAAACACUGAUUCACAUUUAUUGGUAUCCGUUAAGGUUAAUAUAGAAAAACGCCCUCAGAAGUAUUGGACACAUUUUCACAGAUCUGAGCAUGCAAGCAUGUUUACUGACUGUAUGUAUAGCUAAUGAAGAAUAACUUCUAGAUCAGGGAUGGGGAGCCUGCAGUGACCUUCCAGAUGUUACUAAACUACACCUGCCAUCUUCUCUGACCAUUGGUCAUGCUGUCUGCACUGAUGGAAGUGGGGGGUCCAACUAUGCCCAAAGGGCUACAAAUUUACCAUCCUGUUCUAGAUGUACAACCAUCCACUUUGCAAUGCUUAGCCAGAUUCUUGAAAUAUCAGAAUGCAUAUUUAAAUGCAUAGAUUAAAGAUUUGUGGCUCAUCUACACUUCCACUUGUCCCAUGCCUAGAAAGCAUGGAUCUGAGCAGUUUCCGCUUGUCAUGUGCUUUCUAAGCACAGGUCCAAGUGGUUUUACCUUCGCCCCACCACAUCCCCCUGGAAAACCCACUCUUUAGCACCAAGUUGGAACAAAUGUCAAUCUUCAGAAAACACAAUUACCAUUUAUCCUGAUUCAGUGCUGAAGGUCGGGUUUCCCUGGGAGAAAGCGGUGGGGCAAAUGCAGGUGUGGAUAAGCCCUUUGUGUGUGACAAGUUGUGUUGCAAUUAGGUAACUAUGGCUGCCUUUGCAUUCGGUGUUUUUGGAAGUGUUAUAUUUUUGGUUGUUUUUAUUACUGAAUUUGUAUACCGCCCUUCAUCCAAAGAUCACUGGGCAAUUCAUAACAUAAAAAUACAAAAUGAGAACACAAAAUACAUAACAAAACAAAAACAAACCAAUAACCCUCUCUCCCACAAACACAUUUAAAAGGCUAUCAAAUGUUUAAUCAGCCAAAUGCCUGGUUAUAGAGAAACAGUUUCACCUGGCGCCAUGUGUAAUGAAGGCACCAGGACAGCCUUCCUAUGGAGAACAUUCCAGAAAUGGGAAGCCACCACAAAAAAGGCUCAUUCUUAUGUUGUCACCCUCCAAACCUCUCAUGAGGGCCUGAGAUGAAGAUCGCAGGGUCCAGGUCGGUUCAUAUGGGGAGAGGUGGUCCUUGAGGUAUAUUGAUCCUCAAUAUAAUACAGUGGUACCUCUGGAUACGAACGGGAUCCGUUCCGGAGCCCUGUUUGCAUCCUGAAGUAAACGUAAGACGUGACUGCGCAUGCAUGGGUCGUGUUUCGCCACUUUCGCGCAUGUGCGUGACGUCAUUUUGAGCAUCUGAGCAUGUGCGCGUGGCAAAACCCAGAAGUAGCGCGCUCCGUUACUUCUGGGUUGCCGUGGAGCACAACCCGAAAAUAUUCAUCCCGAAGCUACUUCAACCGGAGGUAUGACUGUAGUUGAGAGGCUCACAGAUUUCUCAUACAUAUGCUAUAUUAAACUAUACGUAUUUUAAAGUCAGAAGCGUAUGGUAUGGUAAAGCUAUGAAAGUACCAUUCACAUUCACAAAUCUCAUAUUACAAUAUUGUAUACUGCCACAUCUUUACCUCAGCUAGGCAGCAAAUAUUGUGAGCAAUGUUAGGCUGAAGUUACCAGCCCAUGAUCAUCAAGUAAGCUUUGUGGUUGGCUCAGAUUUGAACCAAUGACAAUGUUGUCCACACUGAUGAUAAGAAUUCAGCCUACUACACAGUCAAUACAAAUCCCAGUCUAUCAGUUCUAGGCAGUGACCAGCACAGAUGCCCUGAAAUGUUCAUCAAGUGCAUUAUAAAAGAGCUAUGAAGACAGUCGGAGCUGACCUGCUUUCUAAGAGAAUGCAGUUCCAUAACAACUUGCAUUAUUUAGGGCCAUUAGUGCUAGUUCUAAUAAUAACAAAGACUUAUUAAGACUCAAAUGCUUCAUGAACAUUAUUACCUCUGAGCAAAACACUCUUGCCCUGGCACAGUAAUUGGUUCUUUUGCAGCAAGAAUAGUUAUUGUGUCCUGUUUUUAGAAUAACACGGGGAAAAGCAGUUUCAGUGGGGAAAUUAAUCUGAAAUAAAUAUUUAAGAAGAAAGGUUCAGUGUAGCCGAAAAUGGAAUGAGGUGAAAGAGUUGCACAUCACAUUUGGCUUGACAUUUGCUUUUAUGGUUUAAAGCCUAUUCUAGUAUUCCCUAGCAAUAACUUGUAGUCAUGCUUGGAAUCUUGUUCCUCUUACUGCAAAUAUUAUUUAAGGGCAAAAGGAAAAUCCAGCUGUGUGUAAUUGUUUUAAUAAGGUGUAUGACGUAUGUUUAGCAUAUCUAUCUUGUAGCAAGAAAUUAAAUAUUGGCAGAAUGGUCCAGCAGAAGGUCAGGCCAACUACAUCUGCCUUUUCCUAUUUGGCUUUUGGGUACAUUGCUAAAUAUGCUAAUUAGAAUUUAAGAAUCAUUUCAUCCCAAUUCAGGAUUAUUCCCUACAAAGUCUGCAGAAUUAUUUUCCUUAAGCCUGCAGCGAAGGGCUUCUUGGCUCAAGUGUCUUCAUUUAUUUUUCGGUAUGUGAGUGUGCAUGCAUGUGUAUCUUACAACAAAGAUAACAUUUCAUGCUUAAAACGAGGUGGGCUGUGGUCCAUAAAAACUUGUGCCGCAAUAAACAAAUUAGAUGCCAUGACUCCUUAUUGUUCUUGUUUUAAAUAUCUGGGUCUCUUCGAGCCUUUUUUCAUUCAGAUGCUCAAGUCUUUCCCCUCUGUUUUCUCCAAAUAGAAAAACUGUUCAGGUGCCAAACAUUCUCCAGUACCCAUCAAGACAAAUGUAAUUAUUUUUCUUUUAAGUGAGACUUCAAAAUGGUUUAUUUUGUCAGCUAUAACAUGCAGUCCUUACACAUUUGUAUCAGAUACUGGGGAACAAUCUUAUUUAAAACUGGCAGCUAAUAACAGAUGUUAGGAAGAUAACUAAAAAGAUUCUCAUUUAGGGGAUGUAAUAUGCAUCAGAGUUUGGGAAGUUACAUUCUCCAGCUACUGCGAGAGGCAAAAAGAAAGAAAUAAAGAAAGAAGUUCAAAGCAAGGGCGGGGAGAGAGAGAGUUGGCUAAACGUGAACAGUCCCUAAUCUUCCAUCCAACCUACUUAAAUUUCAGCAAGGGCUAUUCUUAAAGGGAAGCUAACUCAUGUGUGAAUUCUAAGCAAAAUCAUUUGGAUUCCAUAUGUAUGGUAGUCCAGGUGCUAUUCUAUAUAAAAGAGUAUAUGCAUACAACUCCCGAUAGCUGAAUAAUAUAAAUCAAAGGGAUUGUACGGUUUCUUAAAGAAAAGAAAAAAGGAUACAGUAAACUAGGUGAUUUGAUAAAAAAAACCCAAUUCUUAAUUGUAUACGGUGAAAGUUUGGUGGAAGGAGACCAGGCCACAAAUCUAUCUGCCUGGAGCUCUUUCACAUGUUUUCACCAGCCAUAGCUCAGGUGGAAGCAGGAUGCAUAAACAGGCCCCUGCGUCUGACUUUAAUAGAUGGACAGGAUCAUAUGUGAGGAGAUGGUCCUUCAGCUAUGAAGAAAGGCAGUGUAGUACAACAGCGUAAAUAUGAAUAGAUGUGGAGAGUGCACUACAGCAGUGGACCCUAAAUGCGUAGAGUUAAUGUUUCUCCUACCCAAAACUAAAAUGAGACAAAAAGCAUAGCCAAGGCGAC
Non-coding RNA from Podarcis lilfordi (Lilford's wall lizard), 66276 nucleotides. The record is from the annotation of a GenBank genome assembly. NCBI's taxonomy places the organism in Eukaryota, Metazoa, Chordata, Lepidosauria, Squamata, Lacertidae.